RNAcentral lists this long non-coding RNA (67271 nucleotides) under Medicago truncatula (barrel medic). RNAcentral describes it as "long non-coding RNA (MTRU_LNC003879)". Lineage: Eukaryota; Viridiplantae; Streptophyta; Magnoliopsida; Fabales; Fabaceae. The record is from RNAcentral.
UUCAACACCAAAAACAAGCAUGCCACGUAAGCCAGCUUCAUUAACAGACCUUAUACUCUUUCCAGCAGUAAUAGCAUCUUCUCCAGCACAAAAAUGUUCAUAGAAUGUUCUCUUUGUAACUGCCAUAACUGCAUCUUUCAAGAUUCCCGUUUGUAACAAUUUUGAUUGCAUAGCCCAUAUUCCAACGUCCACGACAGGUCCUAUAGCCGUUGCAUGCAGAACGGCUGAGGAUCUUAUCAGCGUGGACGUUGGAACAGCUGAGAAUAAUCUCUCACCGUCGUUUAGGUCAAGAUAAGAUGGUUGUUGGUGUGACGGUUGUGGUGGAGAAGGUUGUUCUCUUUCGAGAAUGGAGGCGACGGUGGCGGUGGCUGAAGGAUGGUAGGAGUUUAAUGGUUUUGUGGUGGUUUUGAAACGGAGAUUCUUGAUGAUUUUUUGUGGGACCACACGAGUUGCCAUUCAAAAACAAGAAAUUUUGAUGUUUUUGAUUUCUUUGACGUUGUUUUUCUUCUUUUUUUUGUGAUGAAACUCUCGACAACCUUCAGGGUUUUUUAUCUUUCAAAGGAACACGUGAUUUUGGUGUUGUUGUUCUAUGUAACGAGGUUAAGGGUGUGGUUGUUUUUAUAGGCAUGAAAAGUUAAUAGGGUUUGGUCAAGCAAUGAAAAGUACAACGCUGCAUGAUGAUGUUGUUGUUCUAAUAACGUGGCUUAAUCUUUUAUCCUUAACAACCUUUUAAUUUUAGUUUUUAAAUUUUAUCCUUAACAACUUUUUAUUUUGAUUUCCCUUUUUAAUAUAGUUUUUUAUGGUUUAGUCGGUGUUUUUUAUUUGUAAUUUCUUUCCGUUUAUAACUGAUUGUAAAUUAAUCUGAUUAACUUUCAACUUUAAUGAGAUAACUAUGAUAAUUUUUAAUAAGGCAAAUAUUAAAAAAAGUAAUUAUGAUAGUUUAACAGUUUAAUUUCUAUUUGAAAAAACAAUUUAAUUACUAUGCAUAGAGGUGUAAAUAAUUAUUUAUUUUCCCUUAAAAAUCAUCAAUUUUAAUUAUUUUUUCAUUUGAAGUGGCAUAUCUUAAUUUGAUAUUUAAUUUAGACAAAAAUAAUCAUAAUCAAUACUAUGUAUGAACGAAAUGAGGGAUUUUGGACAGAUUUUUUUACUAUUUCAAUUAUACCCUUAAUUUUUUUAUAAUAAUGUUAUAUUGUUGUGAUAUUAAAAGAAAUAAUUCCGUAGCAUUUCAAAAACGCCUUGAUUUGUUUUGAUUUUUAACCAAAACGUUUGCAUUUAAUUACCAUUUAUUUUUUUUCAAUUAAGAUUGUAGGGGUAAAAUUGAGCUAAAAAGUGAUAAGCGAAAACAAGCUAUAAACUUGUGUAAAAAUGACAUUUAUUAAAUGGAUUAUUUUUUAUCAGGUAGGUUGUGGCUAGAGCUCACACAUUUUAAAUGUGGAGAAGUAGAAUGUACGGGGUUCAAACUCCAACCCCUACAUAUAUUAUGCAAUUUUCCUACCAACCCAACUGAGUUAUACUCACAUAACUUUUUUAAUCAUGAGAACUUAUAAACAAUAUGUUAUAAACUUAAAAUAAUGUCUUACUAGAUAGACCCUUAAACCCCUUUUUUUUUUUUUCUUAAAAAAAAAACCCUUAAACCCUUUUCUUUUUUCUUAGGAGAAAAAACUUCAAACGCCUAUAAAAAUGCAAAAAAUAUAAUUACUACUACCUCCGGUCCUAUUUAUAAGAGAAAUUUAGGUCAACAAAAGUGAAUGUAUUUGGACUGAAUUUUUAACUAGAUACAUCAACUUUUGUUGACCCAAAAUUCUCUUAUAAAUAGGACCGGAGGGAGUAUAUCGCUAUUUGGAUGGUAACUAGUUGUGUCAUGUUGCUGUGGAUAAACUAUGGCAUGAAAAAAGUUAGUAAAAUGGAGUGAAAAAGAGAGAGCGUAGGUAAAGGAAGAUGAGUAAGAGUGGUAGGUAGGUGCUAAAUUGUAGGGGAGAGUAUGGACAUGAGUUAUAAAAGGUAACAUGAUAGUUUGCAAAUACACGUAGAUAUGACAUAGAUACUUAAAGUAGAGUAUGCAUGUAACAUGUUAUUAAAUUCAAGAUAAUACUGCCAUCAUCUUGAUUCAGUCAAUUCUACAAUUUUAAUUUCAUAUCUUACCAACUAUAACCGCAAUAGAUCCAGGAGAUUCCUUUCUAUUCUAAAAUUAAUGGAUAUUAUAUACUUUUAUCUACGGUUUAUUCGGGUUUGUUUGAAACAAUUCUAAGAAAUUGGUCAGCUAUUUGGAAGCUUAAAUACUUUGGAACUUAGUUUGGAGGAUGUGUCGGGUUGUUUGUCUAGGAGGAUUCGACUUCAUGACAAAGGUGUGAUGUGUCCAACACAUUGCGUUAGUUGUGUUUCUACACACGAUGAUCAACACGAGUCUUUCUCGCGUGUUUUGUCAUCACUUGCACGCUUACUGAGAAUUUUUCGGUAGGUCACCAAUCAUAAGAAUACUCAAAGUCAAGCACGCUUAACUGUGGAGUUCUUAUGAAAUGAGCUACCGAAAAGAAGAUGCAUAUUGUUGAUAUAGGUAGUACCAAACAAUUCUUAUAAGUCUUCCUUCAACCAUGUAGUCUCAUACCUACACGGCCUCAGGAUCCAUCUCAUUCCGAUGUGAUUCGGCUUGUCUAGAAGUUGUCGGGAGCCGCUCAUUGUCAUGCCUUGUGCACCGGCGACCACUCCCCACCCUCGUCAGCCUUGGGUGUUACAUGCCCACCAGCUUCCGCUUAGUUUGUCCCCGAACCACACCGUACUCAGAGAGGUCUGCUCUGAUACCAUUUGUAACAUCUCAGACUGCUUUCAAGAUUGCCGACUGACCCUACAAACCAACACGAGUCUUUCCAGCAUGUUUUGUCAAAGUGCUUAUAAUUUACUUGUUGUAAUUUCUUAUGCGUGACAGAGAAAAUAGGGCCAAGGAAAUUUAUGCAACAAAAUUUGCUUCAAUUGCACCUAAAAUUGUUAGCUGCUUAGUAAGUAACAUUUUUUUAGGUGUUACAUGUAAUACCUUCAAGUGUUACUGAAAUCAUUAAGUAACACGGGAUUUACCUAACAAUUGUCAUAUGUUACAAAAUCUAAAUAGUAACAUUUGUUUUUUAUUUAGUUACACUUUUGAAGUAUUACUAGUGUUACAUGUAAUACCCUUAAGUGUUACUGAAAUCAUUUUGUAACACAGGUUUUACCUAAUAUUUCUCAAAUGUUAUAAGAUCUAAAUAGUGACAUUUGUUUUUUAUUUAGUUACAACUUUAAAGUGUUACUAAAUCUCAUAUAUGUUGUAGUGUAGCAGCACACUUCCAAAUCAUCAAUUUGAAUAGUUCUAACACAAGAUGCACAUUGUUGCUUCCAAAUUAAUUUAAAUUAACCGACAUGAUUAAAAAAAUAGACUAAGAUUUUAUUUUUGUUAAAAAAAAUAGAAUAAGAUUGCUUAACCAAUCAGCUUAAAUAAUUUAGUAUUUUUAUAAUGUGGGGAGGCAGACUUUCCCAAACUUAAUAUGCACAUAAAGCACAAACUAACUUCAAAAUCUGACAUACAUUUCCAACAAAAAUACCAUAAUAAUUCAAAAUUCAUUUCAUUGAAAUUCCAAUUUCAUCAAAUUACAGCAUUCUUUAAUUCUUAAAAAAUUUCAAAAAAAAAUCAUGAUGCUUGCCAAAUUACAAGACAUGAUUUUUAUACUAUUAACAUUGCUAAAGCUCUUAAAAUAUUGCAGCUUUAAGCCUCCUUCCAAGCUCUUUUCUGUACAAAAAAUAAAAUAAAAAUCACUAUGAGAAAAACAUAAAUUAAAUAAUUUUCAUGUCACAAAAUAAUUAAAAGGUUAAGAAAUUAUUUUUAAUUUUGUUACCUUAUGAGUUGCCUAUCAAAUCCAGAAGCAGCCAAAAGGCCUCUAUUUUCUUCAGCUCUUCUCAAUAGAUAAGGCAUAACCAUCUCAACUGGUCCAAAUGGCAUAUACUUGCUUACUCUAAAUCCAGCGUUGCUCAAACCAAAUGAAAGUGCAUCUGACAUUCCACAUAGUUGUGCAAAUUCAAGCUUGUGAUUCACCUUUCCCAUCCCAAUUUCAUAUGCUUUUGCUGCAGCCAAUUUCCCUACACAGCAAAAAAAAAAAUCAAUACAUUUUAGAUACAUUAAUUGAAAUCAUGGUUAUUCUAGUAUUCUUAUUGGUACAUGUAGCAUAUAUAUUUCAGAUUUAAGGUGUGUUGGUUGAUCGAUGUGGGUCAAUGUCUGAUACCGACAUAUGUAGUUACAUUUAUUUACUUAUAUUUUCUUGAAAUAUUUCUAAUGUCUACGUGUCAGUGUCAAUAUCAUAUAUGUUGUCUAUGUAUGUAUCAAUGCUACAUACCAUUCAAUCUAAAGAUUGACACUUCAUAUUAAUGGAUGUCCGGCAUGCGACGACACCAACACAUAUGAUUACAUUUUCUUAAAAUAUUAUCAGUGUUCGACAUGCGACGGCACCGACACAUAUGAUUACAUUUUCUUAAAAUAUGUUCUUUCAGGUGUUCAUGUAUGUGUCGGUGCUUCAUACAUUAGUCUAUAAAGUCUAAAAAAUAUGAAAUUGAAAAGUAAAAAAAACCUAAUGAGUAAAAUAAUCUAAUUAGUACCUGAUUCAAUGUUGUGUGUAGCAAGAACAACAGAUCCUUUUCCAUUAGCAAACUUCUCAAGCAAAUAAGAUGAACAAUCAUUGAAGCAAUUAUGUGUAUCUUCAAUAGUAUCAUGAAUUGGUGACUUAGACCCAAAAGAUUCAGCCAAUGUACUUUCUGUGGACAUAUAAGCACCUCUAACCAAUUUAAAUCCCAUAGGAAUUCCAAUUUCUUCAGCAGCUUUUGUUGCAAGAAACAAUCUCUCCUUAGCAUCUUUCAAAUAAGUUUGAAUUGUUCCAAACACAAUAGGGUUAUCAUCUUUAUUAUGCAUAAUUGCUGAAGAGUAUGUGAAGUAAUCAAUAGCUGGUUGAACAGUAGUGUGUUCAGCAUCAACCAAUAAGGGCAUGUUUGCUUCAACACAUUUUUUACAAAGUUGUUGUAAUCUUUGGUUUGCUAGUUGAAAAUCACUUUCUUCUUGUGGUGUUAAUGGUUCUGGUUUUUUUGUAGUGUGGUAUAAUGGACUUGAUUCAGAGAAAAUUGGUAGAGAAUCUUGUUUCCAUGGUAAAUUGAAUGAAGGGUCUUUUUGUUGCCAUCUUAGAAGAUCACUUAUUCUUUCUAGUAAUGCCAUUGGACAUAUUGCAGUGAUUUUCACAAUCACAAAACUCACCUAUCACAUAAAAAAUAAAUAAAUUAGGAUCGUGUGGGAAAUCGGAUCGCAUAUAGAUGGAAAUUUGGCUCAUUCAUGCGAUCAGUAUAUUCGUUGCAGUUGGAUCAAGUUCUGCAGUGAUAUUUGCAUGGAAUUCUACGUUGAAAUAUAAACUGUUCAAUCUUGAUCCAACAACUACGAAUGUGUUGUUUGCAUGAAUGUGUCAAACCCAAAAAAAAAAAAAAAUAAAUAAAUAGUUUUUUACAUGGUGUACCAAUUUAGUAUAAAACACCUUGAACAUGAAAUAAUUAAAACUCUAGUAAGAAAUGGUAAAAAUCCAAACUACUAAUGAACCCUUUUGUCCAAAUACCAAAAUCUAAUUUCUAAACACUAGUUUCCAAUUUUUAUGUUACAAUGCCAACCACAUUGUACUUAAGCUAGGUGGGAGUGGGACAACAUUAUAUAUAAUAAUAUUAAUACAAACAUUAUGAUGGAAAUGAAAUAAUGAAAACUCUUGUUAGAAAUGGUAAAAAUUCAAACUAGUACUUAAACCAUUUUGUCUAAAACAGUAACAUUAACCGAUCUAAACACUGCUUCCCAAUUUUUUGGUUAACCCUUUAUCCAAAAAUACCAAACUCAAAUUUCUAAACACUGCUUCCCAAUUUUUUGGUUAACCCUUUAUCCAAAAAUACCAAACUCAAAUUUCUAAACACCUAGAUGCCAACAAUAUAUGACUCAAUGUCAUGCCAACCACAUUGUCCUUAAGUUAGGUGGGACCAACAAAAUAUAAUAUGAGACAAAAUUGUUCACUCUGUCACAAGAUUUCAACAAAAAAAGCACAAAAUUUUUACAUGAGAGCAUGACUUGAACUGGCAUAUCAAGGUGAUUACUUGGUGAUAUUGAAACAUGCAAUGUGACACUUGUUGCCAACUCAAUUCAUACUCAUCACAAAAAGUAGCAAUUCAAUUAAACACACGCCUCACAAUAAAAACACACACGUUCACUUUUCAAAGUCAAGGCCCACAACCAUUUAAUUCAUUAAAAAAAUUAUUUAAUGUAAUAAUACUCCCUCCGUCUCAAAUUGUAUGACGUUUUGGCCAUUUCACACGUAUUAAGAAAUGUAAUUAAUAUUGUGUGACAAAAAAAAUUAUGAGUUGUUUUACAAAAUUAUCUCUAAUAAAUGGUAUGGAAAAGAUAAAUGAAAUAAUUGAAAGAAGAGAGAGUAAUUAAUAGUUAAGGAUAUAAUAGGAAAAGUAACAUUAAUAUUUCAUUGGUAUUGUAAAGCGACAUACUCCCUCCGUCCCAAAUUGUAAGACGUUUUGGGCAUUUCACACAUAUUAAGAAAUACAAUUAAUAUUGUGUGGAAAAGGGAUAUUAUGAGUUGUUUUACAAAAUUGUCCUUAAUAAAUAAUAUGGGAAAAAUAAAUGAAAGAAUUGAAAUAAGAGAGUAAUAAAUAGUUAAGGUUAUAAUAGGAAAAGUAACAUUAAAGUUGCAUUGGUAUUGUAAAGCGACAUACAAUUUGGGACGGAGGAAGUAUAAUUUAGGAAAAAAAAUUUCCAAAGCGACAUACAAUUUGGGACGGAGGGAGUACAAAGUAGUUAAUGGCCUUCUAUUUCUAAAAGGGAUUGGAGAAACUUCAUUCACCUAUAGUUUAAAUAUUACAUGUGCUUUAUAUGUUUUUCAAGACAUGCUAAAAUAUCCUUAUUUCCUUUAACUAUUGGGGUGAGUCCACAUAAAAAAUUAAAAAAAGUAAAUAUGAUUAGAGAUCUCUUAUAUUAUUUUUAUUAUUACUAAUCAUAUUUGGUAUUCAUAAAUAAAAAGAUCCUCUUCAAUCUUUAUUUAAAGAAAUUGAAAAAUCUCAUUAUUAUGAGUUUAAUUGUAUAAUUAAUGACUACUUAAUUUUUUUUUUGAAGAAAAUUAAUGACUACUUAAUUAUAUCACUAAUUUUAGAAAUAUUUCACUUAAUAUAUUUUAAAAAGAAUAAUAAAGCUCCCAUUUUUUUUAAAAAAUAUAGAAAAUUCAAACAGAAAAACUAUCUGUUGAAUGUAUAUGAUGAUUGAAUUCUAUUUCCACGCUACAUUAUACGACCAAAUUAAUUUGACCAAAACCUCUUCUCUUUAAAUAAAAACAAACAAAUCUUUAAUUAAUCUAAACAGAUCUUAACCAAUUUAUUUUACCAUGAUGAUAAAAAUUAAUCAAAAAAAUAAAUCAAGAUAAAAUUAGAAACUUACAGAAGAAGGAGGAAGUGAUUUGCUAACAUCAACAGUAUGAAGAAACCCUUUAAGAUUACGAUCACAACCAUCAUUCUCAUGUGCAUCUUCAACACCAAAAACAAGCAUGCCACGUAAGCCAGCUUCAUUAACAGACCUUAUACUCUUUCCAGCAGUAAUAGCAUCUUCUCCAGCACAAAAAUGUUCAUAGAAUGUUCUCUUUGUAACUGCCAUAACUGCAUCUUUCAAGAUUCCCGUUUGUAACAAUUUUGAUUGCAUAGCCCAUAUUCCAACGUCCACGACAGGUCCUAUAGCCGUUGCAUGCAGAACGGCUGAGGAUCUUAUCAGCGUGGACGUUGGAACAGCUGAGAAUAAUCUCUCACCGUCGUUUAGGUCAAGAUAAGAUGGUUGUUGGUGUGACGGUUGUGGUGGAGAAGGUUGUUCUCUUUCAAUAAGGGAAGCGACGGCGGCGGUGGCCGAAGGAUGGGAGGAGUUUAAUGGUUUUGUGGUGGUUUUGAAACGGAGAUUCUUGAUGAUCUUUUGUGGGACCACACGAGUUGCCAUUCAAUAACAAGAAAAUUUGAGAUUUGAGAUUCUUGAUGAUGUUUUUGAUUUCUUUGACGUUGUUUUUCUUCUUUUUUGUGAUGAAAACUCUCGACAACACUUUAGUUUUUUUUUUAUCUUUCAAAGGAACACGUGAUUUUGGUGUUGUUGUUCUAUGUAACGAGGUUGUUUUUAUAGGCAUGAAAAGUUAAUAGGGUUUGGUCAAGCAUUGAAAAGUACAACACUGCAUGAUGAUGUUGUGUGAGAUAAGAUUAAACUCUCUAAUUACGUGGCCUAAUCUUUUAUCCUUAACAACUUUUUAGUUUUUAAUUUUGACUUAUCUUAUUCUUAAAAUAGUUUUUUUUGGUUUAGUUGGUGUUUUUAAUUUGUAAUUUCUUUCAGUUUAUAACUGAUUGUAAAAUAAUCUAAUUAACUUUCAACUUUGAUUAGGAUGACAAUUAGACCCAGACCCGAUGGUAAAACCCCGCUUUCAUGGAUAUGGGCAUGGAUCCGGGUAAUUACCCGCAACUUAAAAGGAUACAGGCACGGGUAUGGGCACUAUACUACCCAGCCCCGCAACCCGCAUAUAUGAUUUUAUAUAAUAUAAUAAAUAAUUUAUAUAUUAAUUAAUUAAUUAAUUAAUUUAUCUAACUAUUUAAGCUUAGAAUGAAACCUAAAAAUUGCUUAUUACAAUAAUCUAAACCUAGCCUCUUGUUGCAUUGAAUAGGGAUGGCAAUGGGUACCCAAUGGGUAGGGUACUAUAGUGCCCAUCCCCAUACCCACAUUUGUAAGAAAUAUCCAUACCCGUGCUCGUACCCUCGUGGGCAACAACUUUAGUGCCAUUCCCCAUACCCUAUGGGUACCUAAGUGCCCAUACCCGCACCUAUUACCCACACUUUAGCUAUGAAAAAGGAAUAAAAACAUCACAAUUGAAAUAAAACUAUGAUCCAAUAAAAAAACAUCUAAAUUAAAAUAUCCCUAAACAAUUGUACAUCGGCAAGAUGAAGUUAUUGUAUUAAAUAGUUUUUUUUAUUUAGGUUUGAGUUUAGGCUUAAAUAGCUAAAUUAAUUAAUUAAUUAUACACCAAAAAUAAAUAAUUAUUUAAAAUAUUAUAUAAAUAUGUAUAUGCGGGGUUGUGGGGCUGGGUAGUAUAAUACCCUUACCCGUGCCCAUACCCAUAACAAUUUGUGGGUAUUACCCAGACCCAUGUCCAUACCCAUGAAAGCGGGGUUUUACCCUACCCAUUGUGGGUUUUUUUUGCGGGUAUCCAUUGGGUCUGGAUCCAAUUGUCAUCCCUAGCGUUGAAUCUCUACCGCCUGCCUGCCUUUCAUUGCUUUUUGUUAUCCAUCUCUUAUGCUUCUAGGUAACUAUUUCUUGAAUCUCAUAUUUCUAAAGGGAUGUCAAUUGGACCCAGACCUGAUGGGUACCGCAAAAUACUACGAUUCAUACUUUUUUUUAUUUGGUUAAAUACUACCAUUCAUACUAUUUUAUGAGUUGAUUUGAAAUUUUCUGGAUCAUAAUUGUAUUUCAGUUGUGGUGCUUUUUUAUUGUCUUUUCAGUAUUAAACUGCGGGUAAUUGGUGCGGGUAUGAGCUCUUAGGUGCCCAUAGGGUAUGGGGAAGGGCACUAAAGUUGUUGCCCACGAGGGUAUGGGCCCGAAUACGUGUAUUUUUUACAAACGCGGGUAUGGAGAUGAGUAUUAUAAUUCCCUGCCCAUUAGGUACCCAUUGCCAUCCCUAACUUUGAUGAGGUAAUUAACUUUCAACUUUAAUGAGAUAACUAUGAUGAUUUUUAAUAUGGUAACUAUUAAAAAAGUAAUUAUGAUAGUUUGACAGUUUAAUUUCUAUUUAAAACAACAAUUUAUUUUCCCUUAAAAAACAUCAAUUUUAAUUAUUUUUUCUUUUGAAGUCGCAUAUCUAAAUUGAUAUUUUAGACAAAAACAAUCAUAAUAUUUAUCAAUACUAUGUAUAAACGAAAUGAGGGAUUUUGGACAGAUUUUUUACUAUUUCAAUUAUACCCUUAAAAAAUGUUCUAUAAUAAUGUUAUAUUAUUGUGUCAUUAAAUGAAAUAAUUUUGUAGCAUUUCGAAGACACGUUGAUUUGUUUUGAUUUUUCAACCAAAAGGUAUGCAUUUAAAUACCUUUUUUUUUUUUCUUUCAAUUAAGAUUGUAGGGGUAAAAUUGAGCUAAAAAGUGAUAAGCGAAAAUAAGUUAAAAAAUGAUUUUUUUUUUUUUUUGUCAAAUGGCCUAGUGGCUAGAACUCACAUUUUAAAUGUGGAGUAGUAGAGUGUACGGGGUUCAAACUUCAACCCUUACAUAUAUUAUACAAUUUUCCUACCAACCCAACUGUGUUAUGCUCACAUAACUUUUUUAAUCAUGGAAACUUAUAAACUAUAUGUUAUUAUAAACUUAAAUUAAUUAUAUCUUACUAGAUAGACCCUUAAACCCCCUUUUUUUCUUAAAAAAAAACCUAAACCCUUUUCUUUUUUCUUAGGGGAAAACUUCAAACGCUUAUAAAAAUGCAAAAAAAAAAAAAAAAAAAUUACUAUAUCGCUAUUUGGAUGGUAACUAGUUAUGUCAUGUUGCAAUGGAUAAUAUGGCAAGAUAAAAGUUAGUAAAAUGAAGUGAAAAGGAGAAAGCGUAGGUAAAGGAAGAUGAGUAAGUAAGAGUGGUAGGUGCUAAAUUGUAGGGAAGAGUAUGGACAUGAAUUAUAAAAGGUAACAUGAUAGUUUGCAAAUACACGUAGAUAUGACAUGGAUACUUAAAUUAGAGUAUGCAUGUAACAUGUUAUUAAAUUCAAGAUCAUAUUGCCAUCAUCUUGAUUAAGUCAAUUCUACAAUAUUAAUAUGUUCAUAUCUUACCAACUAUAACCGCAAUAGAUCUCGGAGGUUCCUUUCAUUCUAAAAUUAAUGGAUAUUAUAUAUUGUUAUCUACGGUUUAUUCGGUUUGUUUGAAUCAAUUCUAAGAUAUUGGUCAGUUAUUUGGAAGCUUAAAUACUUUGGAACUUAGUUUGGAGGAUGUGCCGGGUUGUUUAUCUACGAGGAUUCGACAUCAUGACAAAGGUGUGAUGUGUCUAACACAUUGCGUUAGUUGUGUUUCCACACACGAUGAUCUGGCACAUUUAUUCCCUGCUUGUCCUUUUGCUAUCCUAGUAUGGCGUUUGUCGGGGCUUUGGUCCCAAAUUCAUCAUACAUUUUUUACUGUUGCUGUUGUUUCUGCUGUAGAUACUAUUUUUGUAUUGGUCGAGAUGUUUCCACUGAACAGAAAAAAUUAUAUGCUGCCAUUUUGUGGAGCCUUUGGAAACAUAGGAAUUUAAAGGUUUAGGAGGAUGUGACAGAAGUUGCCGUUGCGGUUGUUGAUCGUGCGUGUGUGAAGAUACGGAUUGGCUGCCUGCAAACACUCAUACCCCCGCUGUGCGCACAGCUGCUACAUCACUCCACUUUUGGAUGUGCAUUCCAAUUCUGCAGAAGCUAGCUCUUCAGCUGUUCCAAUAUUAUUACAUAAUACAAAAUCUGAAGAAACAAAGCAUGAAGAAAAUGCAGUACAAGCUACUUAAAAUGUAGUACAAUAGCUUAAGUAUAGUAGUACAUUCACAUAUAAGAUAGUACAAUUCAUUUGUAUAAAUAACUGGAUGUACAGUACUCUUUUCAAUCUUCAAUGAAUCAGUUUUUUAUCUUUCUUUGAUUCUUAAUAUGGUAUCAGUUUUCUCUCUCUUCUUGAGAGAGUUAGUUACGAUCUAGAUCUAGCUUCCGCCAUUGAUGAUUCCUCUUCUAGCUUCAUCAAACUUCUUUUUUUACUUGAUUUUUCCUUGAAUCUUCGUGAUUCUUCUUCAUAUAUCCUUGUUUAAUACUCAAUUCUGUAUUGAGUUACUCUUGAUUUCUUCAAUCACAUUUUUUGUGGUUUUUCAAUUUUCAUCUUCUUUGAAGCAAUUGAAGCUCUGUUUUUUCUACUUUCCUCUUGAAUCAUGCCUCCUCGUGCAGUUCCGGUUGUAGUUCCACAAACUAACACCGAUUCCGUUUACUAUGUCCAUCCAAGUGAAGGACCAAAUUCUAUGACUGUCACUCCUCUUCUCACAGGCUCCAAUUAUCUCGCUUGGAGUCGUUCGAUGAAACGUGCGCUUGGUGCGAAGAACAAAUUCGCCUUCGUUGAUGGAUCCAUUCCGAUCCCUGAUCCUGAUGAUCUGAAUCGCAAUGCUUGGGAGCGCUGUAAUCAUCUCAUACACUCUUGGAUUUUGAAUUCUGUUUCUCUGCAAAUUGCACAAACAAUUGUUUUUCAUGAAUUCGCCAUUGAUGUUUGGAUUGAGCUUCAAGAGCGUUUUUCUAAAGUUGAUAGAAUUCGUAUCGCUUCUCUUCGCUCUUCCAUCAACAAUCUCAAACAAGGUGCUAAACCUGUACUUGACUAUUUCACAGAGAUGAAAUCUCUUUGGGAGGAGCUCAAUUCACAUCGUCUUAUGCCUAUGUGCACUUGUCUAUAUCCAUGCCGUUGUGAAUCUAUGCGCGCUGCUAGAGAAUUUCGCAUGGAGGAUCAAGUAAUUCAGUUUCUCACUGGCUUGAAUGAUACUUUCUCAGUUGUGAAGACUCAAGUUCUUCUUAUGGAUCCACUUCCUUCAAUCAACAAGGUUUAUUCUAUGGUUGUUCAAGAAGAAAGUAAUAAUACUGCACUUACUCCAGUUUCUAGUGAAGAUUCUAGUAUACUUGUGAAUGCAUCAGAUGCUAGAAAGUUCUAUGGACGUGGUAAACCUUCUUCAGGACCACCUCAAUCUAAGAACAAUUCCAUAUAUUGCACUUUUUGCCAUAGGAACAAUCACACAGUGGAUUUUUGUUACAUGAAGCACGAUUAUCCCAAUGCAAAUAAGCCUCAUGCUUCUUCAAAUGCUGUUGUUAAUGAAGGCAUUCCUGAUUCUCAGAAAGAUGGUGAAGGAUCUUCCAUUAUCUCUCAAACUGGUCUUACUCAAGAGCAAUAUGGUCAUCUGGUUGCUUUACUUCAGCAAUCAUCUUUGGUUCCUCAAGCAUCUGCCUCAAGUCCUGCUAGCACCAAUCAUAUUACUUCUUCUAUUCCAUCUUUCCCCUCAGGUAUAAAUACUGUUAUCUCUUGUUCUAUACAUACUCAAAAUAAUCAUUGGAUUGUUGAUUCAGGGGCUAAUGAGCAUAUUUGCUCCUCUUUGCAUUUGCUUCAUUCCUUUCAUAAGAUUAAACCUAUGCAUGUUACUUUACCUAAUGGUUCCACUGUGAUUGUUCACUAUGCUGGCACUGCUGUUUUUUCACCUUUUUUCCAUAUUACUAAUGUCUUAUAUUCACCUCAUUUCAGAGUUAACCUAAUUUCUGUUUCCAAACUUUGCACUAUUUUGUCUUACCAAGUCAAUUUUUUGCCUGAUAAAUGUCUGAUACAGGAUAUGAAAUCCCAGAAGAUGAUUGGUUUGGGUAAUAUUUGUGAUGGUCUCUAUAAGCUGAAUACUGCUUCAUGCAAUCAGAAGUCUUUUGUUUCUUCUUCCACAAGUCUUUGUGCUCCAGUUUCUUUGAACUCUUGUAAUUCUGUUUGUUCUAGUGUAGCUAUUUCCUUUAUUCCUUCCAAUGCUAUUUAGCACUUUAGAUUAGGACAUUUGUCAAAUCAAAGAUUGUCCAAAAUGCAUAAUUUGUAUCCCUCUAUUUCUGUUGAUAAUAAAGCUACUUGUGACAUAUGUCAUUUUGCUAAGCAAAGAAAAUUACCUUAUCAUUCCAGUCAAUCUAUUGCUAGUUCUAAAUUUGAACUUUUACACCUUGAUAUUUGGGGUCCUUUAGCUCAAACAUCUGUUGAUGGCCACAAGUAUUUCCUCACUAUAGUUGAUGAUUUUAGUAUAUUCUUAUGGGUCAUUUUACUUAAAACCAAAGCAAAAGUUUCUUUGCAUGUUAAAAAUACUUGAUCCAUAAUCAUCAUCAUGUUACCCCAAAAUUCAUAAGGACUGAUAAUGGUCCUGAAUUCUUUUUACCUGAUUUUUAUGCUUCAAAAGGCAUCAUUCAUCAAAGAGCUUGUGUAGAAACACCUGAACAAAAUGCUAGAGUAGAGAGAAAACACCGACACAUUCUCAAUGUUGCUAGAGCUUUGUUGUUUCAAUCCAAACUUCCCAAUGUUUUCUGGUCAUAUGCUGUUUUGCAUUCAGUUUUUCUCAUAAAUAGAGUUUCAACUCCUCUUCUCAAACAUAAAUCUCCCUAUCAUGUUUUAUAUGAUUCAUUGCUUGAUAUUCAUUCUUUUAAAGUUUUUGGUUGCCUUUGUUAUGCUUCUACACUUCAAGCUCAUAUAACAAAAUUACAAUCUAGAGCCAGAAAGUGUAUUUUCUUAGGUUACAAGUCUGGAUUCAAAGGCUCAAUUGUUUUUGAUUUACAUUCCAGAGAAAUCUUUGUUUCCAGAAAUGUUGUUUUUCAUGAAUUGAUAUUACCUUACAAUUCAUCAUCAUCCUCUUCUUCCACUAAAGAUUGGCAGUAUUUUCCUACUCCUUCCACUCAUUUUUCUAAUUUUGAGGAUCCUGACUUUUCACAAUCACCACCUUUUAUCACACCACCUGCACUCCCCACUCCUUCACAACCUACAUCAUCACCUCCCAAUGUCUCUAUACCUAUUAGAACUUCCAUCAGGAAUAAAGUUACACCUGCAUAUCUACAUGACUACAUUUACAAUGCAUCUGUCAUUUCUUCUGCUAAUAACAGUACCAGUCAAUACCCCCUUUCCAAUUUUGUUUCACAUGCUCAUUUAUCUAACACUCAUUCUGCUUUCGCUAUGUCUCUUGUUUCUUAUACUGAACCAAAAUCCUAUGAUGAGGUAAUCAAACAUGACUAUUGGAAACAAGCAAUGCAGACUGAACUUAAUGCUCUUGAACAGACUGGCACUUGGAAGAUAGUGGAUCUCCCUUCAUCUGUCAAACCUAUAGGGUGCAGAUGGGUUUAUAAAGUGAAGCAUAAUGCAGAUGGCUCUAUUGAGAGAUACAAAGCACGUUUAGUUGCUAAGGGAUAUAAUCAGAUUGAAGGCCUUGACUAUUUUGAUACUUUUUCACCCGUUGCUAAGGUUACAACUGUGAGAUUAGUUAUAGCUUUGGCUUCAAUCAAUCACUGGUUUUUGCAUCAGCUAGAUGUAAACAAUGCUUUCCUUCAUGGAGAGCUUCAUGAAGAUGUUUACAUGAUUGUGCCUCCAGGUGUUGUUCCUUCAAAGCCAAAUCAAGUUUGCAAAUUGUCCAAAUCUCUCUAUGGCCUCAAGCAGGCUAGUAGAAAAUGGUAUGAAAAGUUGACUAGCCUGCUCAUCAACAAUCAAUAUAUACAAGCUACUUCUGACGCUUCCUUGUUUACUAAGACAACUUCUGAUAGUUUUACUACACUACUUGUUUAUGUUGAUGAUAUAAUCCUUGCUGGAAAUUCUCUCACUGAAAUUACUUUCAUCAAGAAUGUUUUACAUCAAGCCUUCAAAAUCAAAGACCUCGGUACUUUGAAAUAUUUUCUAGGUCUUGAAGUUGCACACUCCAAAAGUGGAAUCUCUCUUUGCCAAAGGAAGUAUUGUCUGGAUUUGUUACAAGAUUCAGGUUUACUUGGCUCAAAGCCUGUUACCACACCUUCAGAUCCAUCCAUUAAGCUGCACAAUGACACUUCACCACUCUUCACUGAUGUCUCUGCUUACAGAAGAUUGGUUGGGAGAUUGAUCUAUCUCAACACAACUAGGCCUGACAUUACAUUCAUAACUCAACAGCUCAGUCAAUUUUUGAGUAAACCAACACACACUCAUUACAAUGCUGCUCUAAGAGUUCUUAAAUAUCUUAAAGGCUCUCCAGGUCGUGGCAUUUUCUUUCCUAGAGCUUCAGGAUUACACAUUCAAGGUUACACAGAUGCUGAUUGGGCAGGGUGUAAGGAUACUAGGCGUUCGAUUUCAGGCCAUUGUUUCUUUUUAGGACAAUCCCUUAUAUCUUGGAGAACCAAAAAGCAGCCUACUGUAUCUAAAUCUUCUUCAGAAGCUGAGUAUAGGGUAAUGGCAUCAGCAACCUGUGAACUUCAAUGGCUUUUAUACUUGUUGAGAGAUCUCCACAUUGAUUGUGUUAAGCUUCCUGUCCUAUAUUGUGACAAUCAAAGCACCAUGCAUAUUGCAGCUAAUCCUGUCUUUCAUGAGCGCACAAAACAUCUUGAAAUAGAUUGCCACAUUGUGAGGGAGAAACUUCAAGCUGGACUGUUCAAGCUCCUGCCAGUUACAACACAUGACCAACUUGCAGAUUUUUUUACAAAGUCUCUGUUCCCACAGCCUUUUAACAUUUUACUUUCCAAGUUGGGGUUGCUAGACAUCUACCAACCUCCAUCUUGUGGGGGGCUAUUACAUAAUACAAAAUCUGAAGAAACAAAGCAUGAAGAAAAUGCAGUACAAGCUACUUAAAAUGUAGUACAAUAGCUUAAGUAUAGUAGUACAUUCACAUAUAAGAUAGUACAAUUCAUUUGUAUAAAUAACUGGAUGUACAGUACUCUUUUUAAUCUUCAAUGAAUCAGUUUUUAUCUUUCUUUGAUUCUUAAUAAAUAUUAUAGAUUUUUAAUAUUAUUAUGAAAGUGCUUAAAUUAAGAUGAGAAAAAUAACAUAUAUAAUGAUUAAAAAUAUAUAUAUGAAUGCAACACACUUAAAAAAAGGCUAUAUAUAGUGUUAAUUUAUCUGUGUUUCAGAUGAUUUAUUUUCAAUUUUGCAAAAAAGAUAGAUAGGUCAAUAUAGAGAUUAGAUUUAGUUGAUUUAAUUCAGUUUACAUUCUAACAAAAAAAAACUGAACCGCUUUAAAAUUUGUGUUGAUGUUGUUUGAAUCUGUUUCUGGCUUAAAAGUUAACUUCCAUAAGAGCAUGUUAUAUGGGGUCAAUAUCUCUUAUUCUUGGUUGCACGAGGCGGCGUUAGUGUUGCCAUGUAAACAUGGUAGGCUUCCUUUCUUGUAUUUGGGGCUGCCUAUUGGCGGUGAUCUAAGGAAGAUUGUUUUUUGGUACCCUUUGGUUGAUCGGAUUAAAAGAAGGUUGUCUGGUUGGAAGAGUCGUAAUCUAUCUACAGGGGUCGUUUGAUUUUGUUUAAGUUUGUCAUGUCCUCCAUUCCGGUUUACUUUCUUUCCUUCUUCAAGGCCCCUCAGGGAGCUGUAAUCUAUCCAUGUCCUUCAUGGGGGUCAUUUGAUUUUGCUUAACACCUAUUUUGAUAUUCCUUUUCCGUUCUCUCUCAUCACCAUCUCUCUCCACUAUCGUUCUUUCCAUUCACCAAUUCCGUUCAUCACGUCGAAUCAUCUAUGGGUUCUUGGCUUUGAUUAUCCCCUAAUUCUCAUCUUAGGGUUAAUGGUAUCAAAGAAUAUUUUCUCCAUUCAUAUUGCGUUCAUCGUGAUUUGCGAAAAUUUCAUCUGUUUACUAAUCUCGGUAAUGUGAUUCACCUUCAUUGAUGCUUCUUCAUGGUAACUGAGCUUUGAAUUUUGCUAAGGUUUUGUUUCAAUUUGUUCUUCUUGUUUUUUAUACACAGUGAUAUUGUGAGAUUAUUAAAUUUGAUAAUUCUGAUGCUUUUCUUGGUGUUAUUGUAUUGGGUUUGAAGUGUUUGAUGAUUUUACUCAAUAAAAUUUGACUCUGUUUCGCAAUUGUUUGCCUAAUUUGACUUUAACAUUGUGUUGCCUAUGAAGUGUUUGAUAAUUUGAUUAAUGAAAUUUGACUCUCUAAUCGUGAGUAUCUCCAUAGAAAUCUGUUGCAAUUUGUGUUUAGUUAUCUUAAUAUUUUAUGGCAAUGAUAUUAAUGAGAAAUUGGGAUUGAAUUUUAUUGAUUGUGUUAUUGAACUCAAACUCUAACAUAUUCUUAUUUCAUAAUUAGAGGUACAUUUCUAUGAUUUAUGAGCUCAGCCUUUGAGAUUUUUGGCUUGGUUAUUUGUUAAUUUAUUAGUAUCUUUAAUCAAUAGUUAGGCAUGUGCUCACUUUGAUGAAUUUAUGAGUUUCUUUCAGAUUGUUUAAUUUAUAAUGAAUUUACAUGGGAGAUAGUCUUGUGUAGACACAAGUGUUUAGGCAUAAAAAAUUUAGAUAUGAUCAAGUAGUGGAAUCAAGAGAUAGAAUUAAGAAGGUAUGUUGUACCAAAAAGAAGAAUAAUAAUUAAGAAGGUAUGAAUAUAUUUAUAGAUAAGUAAAUUACAUGUUCUUUAAUGUUUUGUUCUCGCGCUCCUAUAAUUUUUAAAAAUUUCGUACAUGUUGUGGUGGUAUGAAUAUAUUUAUAGAUAACAAAAUUACAAGCACUUUAAUUUAUUUAUUUUUAGGGAAAAAAAAAAAAUCAAAGUGCUUGAAAUUUACUUGUUGUACUUUCUUAUUCUUGACAGAGAAAAUAGGGCCAAGGAAACUUAUGGAACAAAAUUUGCUUUAAUUGCACCUAAAAUUGUUAGCUAGCCUACAAAUUAGCUACAAGUUAGCUACUUGGUAAGUAACAUUUUUUAGGUGUUACAUGUAAUACCCUCAAGUGUUACUUAAAUCAUUUAGUAACAUAGGCUUUACCUAACAUUUAUCAAAUGUUACAAAAUUUAAAUAGUAACAUUUAUUUUUGAUUUAGUUACAAUUUUAAUGUGUUACUAAAUCUCAUAUAUGUUGCAGUGUAAUAGUACAUUUCCAAAUCAUCAAUUUGAAUAGUUCUAACACAAGAUGCACAUUGUUGCCUCCAAAUUAAUUUAAAUUAACCGACAUGAUUAAAAAAAUAGAAUAAGAUUUUUUUUUGUUACAAAAAAAUAGAAUAAGAUUGCUUUACCAAUCAGCUUAAAUAAUUUAGUAUUUUUAUAAUGUGGGGAGGCAGACUUUCCCAAACUUAAUAUGCACACAAACUAACUUCAAAAUCUGACAUUCAUUUCCAACAAAAAUACCAUAAUAAUUCAAAAUUCAUUUCAUUGAAAUUCCAAUUUCAUCAAAUUACAGCAUUCUUUAAUUUUUACAAAAUAAAUAAUAAUAAAAAAAAAAUCAUGAUGCUUGCCUAAUUACAAGACAUGAUUUUUACUAUUAACAUUGCUAAAGCUCUUAAAAUAUUGCAGCUUUAAGCCUCCUUCCAAGCUCUCUUCUGUACAAAAAGUAAAAUAAAAAUCACUAUGAGAAAAACAUAAAAUAAAAUUUUUUCAUGUCACAAAAUAAUUAAAAAGUUAAUGAAUGAUUUUUAUUUUUGUUACCUUAUGAGUUGCCUAUCAAAUCCAGAAGCAGCCAAAAGGCCUCUAUUUUCUUCAGCUCUUCUCAAUAGAUAAGGCAUAACCAUCUCAACUGGUCCAAAUGGCAUAUACUUGCUUACUCUAAAUCCAGCUUUGCUCAAACCAAAUGAAAGUGCAUCUGACAUUCCACAUAGUUGUGCAAAUUCAAGCUUAUGGUUCACUUUUCCAAUCCCAAUUUCAUAUGCUUUUGCUGCUGCCAAUUUCCCUACACAACAAAAAAAUCAAUACAUUUUAGAUACAUUAAUUGAAAUCUUGGUUAUUCUAGUAUUUUAUUGUUACAUGUAGCGCACAUAUAUAUUUCAUAUUUAAGGCAUGUCUGGUUGAUCGAUGUGGGUCAAUGACUGAUACCGACAUAUAUUGUUACAUUUAUUCGCAUACAUUUUCUUGAAAUAUUUCCAAUGUCUACGUAUCGGUGUCAAUAUCAUAUAUGUUGUCUAUGUAUGCGUCAAUGCUACAUACCAUUCAAUUUAAAGAUUGACACUUCAUAUUAAUGGGUCUGAUGUCUGACAUGCGACAACACCGACACAUAUGAUUACAUUUUCUUAAAAUAUUAUCAAUGUCCGACAUGCGACGACAUAGACACAUAUGAUUACAUUUUCUUAAAAUAUUAUCAGUGUAAAUAUUAUUUUAGGUGUUCAUGUAUGUUUCCGUGCUUCAUACAUUAUUCUAUAAAGUCUAAAAAAUAUGAUAUUGAAAAGAAAAAAAAAACCUAAUGAAUUAAAUAUCUAAUAAGUACCUGAUUCAAUGUUGUGUGUAGCAAGAACAACAGAUCCUUUUCCAUUAGCAAACUUCUCAAGCAAAUAAGAUGAACAAUCAUUGAAGCAAUUAUGUGUAUCUUUAAUAGUAUCAUGAAUUGGUGACUUAGACCCAAAAGAUUCAGCCAAUGUACUUUCUGUUGACAUAUAAGCACCUCUAACCAAUUUAAAUCCCAUAGGAAUUCCAAUUUUUUCAGCAGCUUUUGUUGCAAGAAACAAUCUCUCCUUAGCAUCUUUCAAAUAAGUUUGAAUUGUUCCAAACACAAUAGGAUUAUCAUCUUUAUUAUGCAUAAUUGCUGAAGAGUAUGUGAAGUAAUCAAUAGCUGGUUGAACAGUAGUGUGUUCAGCAUCAACCAAUAUUGGCAUGUUUGCUUCAACACAUUUUUUACAAAGUUGUUGUAAUCUUUGGUUUGCUAGUUGAAAAUCACUUUCUUCUUGUGGUGUUAAUGGUUCUGGUUUUUUUGUAGUUUGGUAUAAUGGACUUGAUUCAGAGAAAAUUGGUAGAGAAUCUUGUUUCCAUGGUAAAUUGAAUGAAGGGUCUUUUUGUUGCCAUCUUAGAAGAUCACUUAUUCUUUCUAGUAAUGCCAUUGGACAUAUUGCAGUGAUUUUCACAAUCACAAAACUCACCUAUCACAUAAAAAAUAAAUAUAUUAGAAAAUUGAAUUGCGUGUAGUCGGAAAUUUGACUCAUCCAUACGGUCAACACAUUCAUAAUAGUUCAAUCUUGAUCCAACAACUACAGAUAUGUUGUUUGCAUGAAUCCACCAAAUGCAAAAAAUUCUAGUUCUUCACAUAGUGUACCAAUUUAGAAUUAACAUUUUGGAAAUGAAAUAUAGUUAGAAAUGGUAAAAAUCCAAACUACUAAUGAACCCUUUUGUCCAAAAUACCACAAUCAAAUUUCUAAACACUAGUUUCUAAUUUUUGUUACAAUACCAACCACAUUGUACAUCAGCUAGGUGAGAGUGGGACCAAGAUUAUAUAUAUAUAUAUGUAAUAUAUGAAUACAAACAUUUAUGAUGGAAAUGAAAUAAUGAAAAUUCUUGUUAGAAAUGGUAAAAAUUCAAACUAGUACUUAAACCAUUUUGUCUAAAUCAGUAACAAUAAACUCUAAACACUACUUUCCAAUUUUGAUGACAGAAUGCCAACCACAUUGUACUUCAACUUGGUGGGGGACCAAAAUAUAUUAUUUAUUAAUUCAAACAUUAUGAUGAAAAUUAAAAUAAUAAACCUCUAAUUAGAAAUGGUGAAAAUCCAAAUUUAGUUAUCAACCCUUUGUCCAAAAAUACCAAACUUAAAUUUCUAAACACUAGAUGCCAACAAUAUAUGACUUAAUGUCUAUGAAGCACGAACACUCCUCGAAGGCAUGUCUCGGUGCCCGACAUCUACACUUAUCGUGUUCGACAUCAACACGGCAUCAACACAUGUAAUUACAAUGAAUUAUGUAAUUUUUUCAAAUUAUUAAUUAUGUCGGCAUAUCAAUGUCCAUGUAAUAUCCGGUAUUCAUAUCCGUACUUCAUAUAGCUCAAUGUCAGGCCAACCACAUUGUCCUUAAGUUAGGUAGGACCAACAAAAUAUAAUAUGAGACAAAAUAUUCACUGUCACAAGAUUUCAAAGAAAAAAAGCACAAAAAUGUUUACAUGAGAGCAUGACUUGAACUGGCAUAUCAAGUUGCUUACUUGGUGAUAUUAAUACAUGCAAUGUGACACUUGUUGCCAACUCAAUUCAUACUCAUCACAAAAAGUAGCAAUUCAAUUCAACACACGCCUCACAAUAAAAACACACACGUUCACUUUUCAAAGUCAAGGACCACAUCCCACAACUAAACCAUGAGGCACAAUAUGUCUAAUUUAAUUUAAUAAAAAAAAUCAUUAAAAUAUUAGUUUAAUUUAAUAAUACAAAGUAGUUAAUGGCCUUCUAAUCUUCUAUUUCUGAAAGGGAUUGGAGAAACUUCAUUCACCUAUACUUGUUUAAAUAUAACAGGUGCCUUAUGUUUUUCUAGACAUGCUAAAAUAUCAUUAUAAAAAAUGAAAAAGUAAAUAUGAUUAGAGAUCCUCCCAUAUUAUUAUUAUUAUUAUGGUGCAAAUGAGGGAAGAGAUCCACUUAUAUUAAAACACGUUUUAAAAAAUAUUGGGUAUUCAUAAAUAGAAAGAUCAUCUUCGAUCUUUAUUUAAAGAAAUAAAGAAUCCCAUUAUUAUGAGUUUAAUUGUAUGAUUAAUGUCUACUUAAUUAUAUCACUAAUUUUAGGAAUAUGUCACUUAAUAUAUUCUAAAAAGAAUAAACAAAAUCCAAUUUUGUUUUUAAAAAAUAGAGAAAAUUCAAACAGAAAAAGUAUUUGUUGAAUGUAUAUGAUGAUGAUCCACAGAAACUACUUAAUGCUAUUUCCACGCUACAUUAUACGACCAAAUUAAUUUGACCAAAAACCUCUUUUCUUUAAAUAAAAACAAACAAAUCUUUAAUUAAUCUAAACAGAUCUUAACCAAUUUAUUUUACCAUGAUCAUAAAAAAUUAAUCAAAAAAUAAGUCAAGAUAAAAUUAGAAACUUACAGAAGAAGGAGGAAGUGAUUUGCUAACAUCAACAGUAUGAAGAAACCCUUUAAGAUUACGAUCACAACCAUCAUUCUCAUGUGCAUCUUCAACACCAAAAACAAGCAUGCCACGUAAGCCAGCUUCAUUAACAGACCUUAUACUCUUUCCAGCAGUAAUAGCAUCUUCUCCAGCACAAAAAUGUUCAUAGAAUGUUCUCUUUGUAACUGCCAUAACUGCAUCUUUCAAUAUUCCCGUUUGUAACAAUUUUGAUUGCAUAGCCCAUAUUCCAACGUCCACUACAGGUCCUAUAGCCGUUGCAUGCAGAACGGCUGAGGAUCUUAUCAGCGUGGACGUUGGAACAGCUGAGAAUAAUCUCUCACCGUCGUUUAGGUCAAGAUAAGAUGGUUGUUGGUGUGACGGUUGUGGUGGAGAAGGUUGUUCUCUUUCGAGAAGGGAAGCGACGGCGGCGGUGGCCGAAGGAUGGGAGGAGUUUAAUGGUUUUGUGGUGGUUUUGAAACGGAGAUUCUUGAUGAUCUUUUGUGGGACCACACGAGUUGCCAUUCAAUAACAAGAAAAUUUGAGAUUUGAGAUUCUUGAUGAUGUUUUUGAUUUCUUUGACGUUGUUUUUCUUCUUUUUUGUGAUGAAAACUCUCGACAACACUUUAGUUUUUUUUUUAUCUUUCAAAGGAACACGUGAUUUUGGUGUUGUUGUUCUAUGUAACGAGGUUGUUUUUAUAGGCAUGAAAAGUUAAUAGGGUUUGGUCAAGCAUUGAAAAGUACAACACUGCAUGAUGAUGAUGUUGUGUGAGAUAAGAUUAAACUCUCUAAUUACGUGGCCUAAUCUUUUAUCCUUAACAACCUUUUAAUUUUAGUUUUUAAUUUUAUCCUUAACAAAUUUUUAUUUCGAUCCCUCAAAAACAAAAAAACUUUUUAUUUUGAUUUCCCUUUUUAAUAUAGUUUUUUUUUUGUUUAGUCGGUGGUUUUUAUUUGUAAUUUCUUUCCGUUUAUAACUAAUUGUAAAUUAAUCUGAUUAACUUUCAACUUUAAUGAGAUAAUUAUGAUAAAUUUUUAAUAGGGUAAAUAUUAAAAAAAGUAAUUAUGAUUGUUUAACAGUUUAGUUUCUAUUUAAAAAACAAUUUAAUUACUAUGCAUAGAGGUGUAAAACUGUCAAUAAUUAUUUAUUUUCCCUUAAAAAACAUCAAAUUUAAUUAUUUUUUUCUUUUGAAGUGGCAUAGCUAAUUUGAUAUUUUAGACAAAAAUAAUCAUAAUAUUUAUCAAUACUAUGUAUAAAGAAAAUAACUAUUUCAAUAUACCCUUAAAAAAAUUCUAUAAUAAUGUUAUAUUGGUGUGUCAUUAAAAGAAAUAAUUUCAUAGCAUUUCGAAGACGCCUUGAUUUGUUUUUAUUUUUCAACGAAAAAGUAUGCAUUUAAUUACCAUUUAUAUAUAUUUUUUUUUUCAAUUAAGAUUGUAGGGGUAAAAUUGGCUAAAAAGUGAUAAGCGAAAACAAGCUAUAAACUUGUGUAAAAAUGACAUUUAUUAAAUGGAUUUUUUUUAUCAAGUAGGUUAGUAGAUAGAGCUCACAUAUUUUAAAUAUGGAUAAAUAGACUGUACCGCGUUCAAACUUCAACCCCUACAUAUAUUAUGCAAUUUUUCUACCAACUCAACUGAGUUAUGCUCAGAUAACUUUUUUAAUCAUAGAAACUUAUAAACUAUAUGUUAUAAACUUAAAUUAAUGUCUUACUAGAUAGACACUUAAACCCUUUUCUUUUUUUUUUUCUCUAGGGGAAAACUUCAAACUCUUAUAAAAAUACAAAAAAUGUAAUUACAAUAUCGCUAUUUGGAUGGGAAUUAGGUGUGACGUAGUUGCAAUGGAUAUACUAUGGCAAGAAAAAAAGUUAAAAUGGAGUGAAAAAGAGAAAGCAUAAGUAAAGGAAGAUGAGUAAGACAGCUAAAUUGUAGGGAAGAGUAUGGACAUGAGUUAUAAAAGGUAACAUGAUGUUUUCAAAAUACACGUAGAUAUGAUGUGGAUCCUUAAAUUAGAGUAUGCGUGUAUCAAGGUAUUAAUUUCAAGAUGAUAUUGCUGAGUUGGUCCAUCAUCAUCAAAUUGAUUUAGUCAAUUCUACACUUUUAAUAUGUUCAUAUCAUACCAGCUAUAACCGCCAUGAAUCCAGGAGAUUCCUAUUCUAAAAUCAAAUUAUUUUAUCUACUCAUUAUAAUGCUGUUUAAUCGGUUUUUGUUUGAAUCAAUUUUAAGAUUCUAUUUUAAAAUACACACAUAUAUUCUUGAUAGAAAAACAAAAACAUACACAUAUAUUUUGUUCGUUACAUAGAAGAAUAUAAAAUUAGAGAUUAAUUCAUGAACAUAACUCAAUUGCUAUAGAUAAUACAUUGUUAUAUGUAAGAUUGAGAUUCAACUCCGAGCGUCCCACUUAAUUCACCUUAAUAUGAGAAUUUUAGUCACUAACAUACUUAACAAAAAAAUAAAAUUAGAGAUCAAUUUAAUUGAGUUUAGUGGAAGGACCUACAAUGUGACAGUAUGACGAAUUAAAAUUAGAGUUUAGGAAGAGGUAUUCACACCUUCAAAUUGGAUUAUCUUCUUUCUAUGAAACUAUGAAAAGCAAAAAUAGAUAAAUGAAUAUAAAAUAGAGAACUAAUGUUGUUAACAUAGAGGAACGGAUUAGUCUCUUAUAAUUUGUUCAAUUUAGCGAAUUAAAGUUUGAAUUUUAAUUGAAAGAGACAUUCUAAUUUACUAUCCGAUAGAAUCUCGAAUAUAAUUAUCUAUAAUGAUUGGAAUACAUAGAGACAAACAAAUUUAAUAUUAGGGAAUAUUUUAUCAAAAUAAAAUUAGAAAUACAAUGUUUAUAAUUAUAAUCUCAGUAAUUAUUAAAAAAAAAAACUUUGUAAUUGUAAUCAUAGAUUAAUAAUUAAAUAUAAAAUUAUUAUGAAUCAUGUCUAACUAUGAAUUGUGGUUUGUAUAUGCAACGAGUACGUUUGAUUCGGUAAAAAAUUGGGGAGUAUUUUUUUUGUUUUACCUUGUUUUAUUUAAAACAAACUAUGAGAUGCAAGGGACCGGAUACAAUCAAAAAUUCAUGUGCAUCACUAAACCAUGAGAUAACUUUUUAUCUAGAGUACAUAGUAUCAAAAAUACCAAAAUUCCCUUUUUUAUUUUCCAACAUAAAUUAUUUGCUCUAUUCUCUCCAUUAUUGUUAUGUCUCGUAUUGUUUUGUUUAACACAUACUAUUAUUUUGCGAAUCAAAUGCAUCAUAUACUCUUAAUGCAAAUCUGGUCCAUUUAUGAUGACUAUAUUUAAAGUUUUUUUUUUUUUGAAGGAUGACUAUAUUUAAAGUUGUCAACAUAAAUACAAAAUGUUAUAAAUUUUUUAAUGUUUUCCUUCAUUACAACAAUCCAAUAAAAUAAUACUUAGCAUAUAAAAAUUAUUUAUCGAAUUUAAUUUGAACAUUCACUUAGACAAACACAUAGACCGAUUAACCAAAUAACUAAAUUCAAGUGGUAAUGAACUCCACCAAAUAGCAAAUUGUUUAAAAUAAUCUAAAUUUAAUUAUUAUUUGACCUAGCUCCAAAUAAUUUAUUUUGGAACAACAUGAAAUUUUGCUCUAUAACUCUUGAUCAGAUUUUAUUUAUCUCCCGACAAAAUUUCAGAUUACCAAACUCCCUUCCUCUAUGAACGGAAAAAUAAAAAAAAAACAAAAAACUCAUAGACUAGUUACAACUUCCUACCCUAUUAGAUACCUCUAUCACUAAUCAUAUCCCACUAAGUCGUCCUCAUGUCCAUGGUAACCAUGAUUCCCUCUAUUGGAUUCCAGCCACUCCUGCCUAAUUUACUCUUAAAUCAACUAAUAAUUUGCUAUUGGGUAGCCAUCAUAAUCAAAUAAGAAUGUGUUCUAAUCAUUUGAGGAUGGCUCAUGGUAAAUUACUCACUAACAUAGAGCGUUGUCACUAAGGUAUGUCUAUUGAUAAUCUUUGCCCUACAAGAUCUCAAGCAAGACAUUCGGGAUUAUGACAACGUUAAACCCUUAUGAAAUAGAGUGAUCAUUCAAAACAUAUGAAAUAAGUUUUUUUAGUCUUGGCACUUUAUUUGUUAAUCUUGAAAAUACAAAUUAUUACUUUUGUCGAUACAAUAAUACUUCCUCUUUUUAAUAUAAACUUACUACUUUUAAUAUUUUAACCAAUGUUUUAAAGACACUCAUUAGCAAAUAUUUUUCCUAUUGUUGAGCACGUUGAUCAUCUCUUAAAUUCUUUUUUAUUGUAUGAUGGUGGGACUGGGGAUUCUUCCAACAAGUUUUCUUUCUGGCGAAUGCAAUGCUUCAUUUAUAAAAAAAAUAAAGGAAAAAAGCUACAUAUGGGUCCAAACGAUAAAUAAUUGGUGGCCCUAUGCCCCUAUCUAAUUUCCAUAACAAUCACAUGCAUGAUGCAUAAGCAUUAGUUGGCUGAAUAUAACAUCCACAAUAACUAGCUCUAGAUAUGGAGACAAUCGAACAAAUGAGCUAUCACCUUCUCCAACCAAUUACAUAUUUCUAAAUUUAUGUAAAUAACAAAUUGUCUCUCAAUAUGGAUGCUUGGAAAAGAUAGAAGGAAAUGAAACUCAUGUUUGGUUUUGCACGAUAGUUUUUUGGCACCCUUACUUCCUCUUUCUCAUAUACAUUCACGACCUACCUAAUUAUAAAUUGUCUAACCAUUAUAAAGAAAAACAACCAAAAAGAGAAAACUGAUAAAUAAGAUCUAUAUUGGACUAAGCUCCACUCCUACCUAAUACAUAAGGAUGUGGAUUGAUUAUGAAUUUGAAAAGAUUCUUUUCUCACUAUAUAAGUUUCUUGCGCGUUUUAUGUCGUUUAAAUUAUAAAAUCUAAACGGCAUAAAUAAUACCUCAUAAAAACAUCUAAAAAUACAUUGAAAUAUUUUAGAUUUUAAAAUUCAAAUAGGACACACGAGAAACUCAUAAAGCGAGAAAAGUUAUGACCAUUUGAAAAGGAUAGAUUGCAAUUUCAUAAGCUGAUUCAGGGAAAGAUUGUAUGUUAAUGAAAAAAUGCAUUAGGGACGUUACUCUUUUCAGCUUCCUCGGAAACUCUCCCUCUCCCAUUUGAAAGAAUUGGACAUUGAUGUGUUUGCAACAACAUGCUUCAACUUAUUAUUUUGACUGAAGCCUCAACAAAUUAUAAUUUAAAAUGAUAUAAUAAAUAACAUCAAUACAAUGAUUCGCCAACAACUAUUUUGACAGAACUUUUUGAUCGAUGUAUUUUGUUCACCAACAACUAAAAGAAGUUAUUAAUAAUAAGGGUAAGAGCAAAAUCUUCAACUGGUGUGGAAGAGAAGAGUAGCAGUGAGACAGGGUGAGGAGAGGAUAGGGGGCGGUGAGAGAAAGAGGGGAGAUGAUGUAUUUGAUUGGCGGCGACGAUGGCAACGGUGGUGAGAAAGAUGAACUGGACAGCCAUGGUGGUGAAGGUGAAUAAGAAGAGAAGAAUAGCGUGGUUUCUGAGUUUUAUUUAUUUAUUUAUUAAAAAAAUACAUGUUUUGAUUAUUUUAAAUCUGAACAAUUGAAUCGAUUUUUACCACAUGUCAUUCAUCCAAGACCUUAAAUGUAGUAAAUGGGACAUGUGGUAAAUGGAGCAUACCUAAACUCUUCAAAUUCUAGUUCAACGGAUAAAAAUACCAAAAUUGUUAGAUCAUACGUCAGGAUUCGACCCCCGACCACUUCACUUAUGUGCGUAAGUUUGAUGAUUAGUUGUUUAUCUCAUCUAUCUACCAAGUAAAAUAUAAAAUUAGAGAUCAAUUGAGUUGAGUUUAGUGGAAGAGGUCGACUAGAAUGUGACAACACAUCAAAUUUAUAAAUAGGAUUACAUUCAUUCGAUAAAACUCUGAAAGUAAAAAUAUAAAAUAGAAUAUAAAUAGAGAACCAAUGACGUUAAUCAAGAGGAACAAAUAUGACGAAUUAAAGUUUGAAUUUUAUUUAAAAGAGACAUUCACAUUUACCAUCCCACAUAAUCUUGAAUACAAUUACCUUAUAUUGAAUGAAAUCCAUAGAAGACAAACCAAUAUAACGUUUGAUAAUAUGUUAGCAAAAUAAAAUUAGAAAUACAAUGUUUAUAAGCACAAUCUCAGUAAUUUAAAAGAAACUCUUUAAUCGUAAUCAUAUAUUAAUAAUUAAUUAUAAAAACUCUUUUUUUAACAUUACCCUUUCGGCUUCUAGGGAAAGGGGCUCUAGUAAUUUGGAGUUUCACCAUGAGGUAAGGAUAACCUUGCUAUGAAUUGUUUAAUCUAAAAAUUAAACUCGAAUUCUCUCGAAUGAUCGUCCUUGGUGAAGCUCAUUGACCACUUGAGCUCAAUUGAUUAACUUAGUACUUAUUGUUUUGCAAAUCAAACACAUCAUCUGCACUUUAUGCAUAUCUUAUACAUUUAUGAUGACUAUUUUUAAAGUUGUCAACAAAAAUAGAAAAUUUUAUAAUCGUUAAAAGAAACAAUAAAAAAAUACCUUGGUAUAUAAAAAUCAUUUAUGAAAUUUCAAGUUUGAACAUUCACUUAGACAAACACAUAGAUUGGUUAACCAUGCAACUGGCCUCAAGUGGUUAUGAGCUCCAACAAAUAACAAAAUGCUCAAAAGAACCUAAAUUUGAUUAUUGAAUUGAAUCAUUUUUUGUCAGAUUUUACUUCCAUCUUAAUGAAUUUUGAAUUUUUUACUUCCAUCUUAACGAAUUUUGAAUUAUCAGAGUUCCUUCGCCUUCGACUUAUGAUGUACUAUUGGGUGACCAUCAUAAUCAAAUUCAAAUCCCACUGUCCAAUUAAAAUAUGUUUUACUCUUUUAAGGAUUGCACGUAAGAAAUUACUCGCUAACAUAGAGCGUUGUCACCGAAGUAUGUUUACUAACAAGCUCUCAUGCAUGUCAUUCGGGAUUAAUCAAGUUGAACAUAACCUUUGUUACAAGUUGAUUAAUUAAGAUGAAUAAGUUCAUAAUUCUUUAGAGUGUGUUUGGACGAGGUAAUUGGGAAAUUUUGAAGAAUUUAGAAUUUUAAGUAAUUUAAAUGAUUCAAUUAAAUUAUUUUCAUUUCUUAAUACUUUUGUUUGGAUAGAGUAAUAAAAAUUUCAUUGUCUUAAUGUUUGGGCAAAUUUUAUAAUUUUUGAGCCAAAUUUAAAAAUUGAAAUUAGGGGUCAUAUUAUAAUUUUUGAAAAAAUGGAGGUUUCAUUUUGCAAUUUUUUGGGGUCAAUUUGAAAAUUUUGGAAAAUUUGAGGACCAAAAUGCAAAAUUUUAAAAAUUAUAACAAUGAAGAAAUUUGAAAUUCUUAUCUUUUAGGUGUCAUUUGAAACUCUCUAAAUUUAACUUGGACAAAAUGCUUAAUAAAUUUCCAUUAUUUUGAAAAUUCUUCAAAUUAUUAUUCUAACAAUAGAAUUCACCACAAAGUAUUUAAAUUCUCUCAAAACAUUACAUUACCUCAAAACACGCUCUCAUCUAAACACACUUUUAUUUCAAUGAAAUUUGAAUCAAAACUUGAACAUUGUUAUUGUCUAAACAAAGCAUGUUGUUGGUGAAUUCAAAAUGAAUAUUGAUUGUGUUCUUUCUUGCAUUUUCUACUUUUUUAUUUUAUUUCUAUUGUUGAGCAUGUUGCUCCUCUCUUAAAUUCUUUUUUGUUGUAUGAUGGUGGAGCUUCUUCCACGAAGUUUUCUUUCUAGUGAAUUCAAUGCCUUCUUUAUAAAAAUAAACAAAUAAAUAAUUAUGGGUCCAAAUCAUAAAUAAUUGGUGGCCCUAUGCCCCUAUCUAAUUUCCAUAACAAUCACAUGCAUAAUGCAUAAGCAUUAGUUGGCUACAUUUAACAUCCAUAAUAGCUAGCUCUAGCUAUAGAGACAAUCGAACAAAUUAGCUAUCACCUUCUCUAAAUUUAUGUAAAUAAACAAAUUGUCUCUCAAUAUGGAUGCUUGGAAAAGAUAGAAGGAAAUGAAACUCAUGUUUGGUUUUGCACAAUAGUUUGUUGGACACUCUUACUUUCUCUUUAGUCUUUCUCAUAUACAUUCACGACCUACCUAAUUAUAAUUUGUCUAACCAUUACAAAGAAAAACAACCAAAAAGAGAAAACUGAUAAAUAAGAUCUAUAUAGACCUAAGCUCCACUCGUAUCUAAUAAACUAAUACAUAAGGGGUCAUUACUUUUCCCACCUUAUGAGCUUCUCGUGUACCGUAAGUAGAUUCUAAAAUCCAAAAUAUUUCAACGUAUUUUUGGAUGUUUUUAUGGAGUGUUAAUGUCAUUUGAAUUCUAUAAUCUGAACUGCAUAAGGCACACGAGAAACUCAUAAGAUGGGAAAUUGAACCGUAUACAUAAGGAUGUGGGUUGAUUAUGAAUUUGAAAAGGAUAGAUUGCAUUUUCAUAAGCUGCUGAUUCGGUAAAAGAUUGUAUGUUAAUGAAAAAAUGAAAACAUGCAUAGGUCCCCAUCAAUUAUAUAUAGCUGGAUUUGGGUUCAUCAUGCUGGAAAUUGAUAUAUACCAAAUUCAGUACAUUUUGAGAACUACCUAACUAAUUUGAAAAUAUUUAAGUACAACACCAAAUUAAUACCAUCAUUUUAAAUUUAAACUAAAAAAUAUUUGCUAAUUUUUAAAUACGUCACCAUAACUUGAUCGAGACACUGGUGAGUGGGAUUCCUCUAAAAACACUAGUGGUGUUGAAUAGUUUUAGAGAGAAAAAAAAUUCGAAAAUACAAGAUUUAUCUUAAAAGAAUAUCUAUUCAAUCUUAAUAGAUGAAUGUUCUCAAAAUCAGAUUAGACAUUAAAUUAUAUAGGCAGUGAUUCAAGGUUCGAAUGCCAGAUUGGAGUUGGAUUAAGGUUCGAUCAACUAUUUUUUUCUUUUUUUAAGUUUUAAAAUUAUUAUAUAUAAAGUCAUAAUCGAUAAUUUUUUUUUUUUUAAGAAGCUAAAAUGGAAUAUUAUUAUCAACACCAAAAGUCUUUCCUAGCAUAAGGUGUGCAGAGGAAAAACAAGAAAUUUGUAUAAUAUUUACAAACCGGGAAAAAAAAAAAAACAACAAAAAAAAGCAAUGAAAGAAAUAACAAUUAACUAUUGUCUAUCAUGUCAAAGGGACUAAGCCACCAUCCAUUGUAGUUGAAAGAGAAUAGAACAAGUUUCUCCUUCAACCACGAAAAGGAAAGAGACUUUAUUUUGUCCACUAUGCGCAUAAUCGAGCAAUCUUUAUUCUUGAAAAUUCUAUCAUUUCUUUCUUUUCAUAUUUCCCAAACUGUAGAAAAUCAAAUGACGUUUAACAAGCUCUUACGCGCCUGAGAGGCUCCGCCACCAAAAAUGAAAUGUGUAUAAUGAUCCGAGACAUCGAACGGAGCCACCAUGGAAAGGCCAACCCAAUGAAGAAUACCAUUCCACACCCAUCCAAAGAAAGAGCAAUGGAUGAAUAAAUGAUUAGCAGUUUCUAGAGAUCCGCAUCCACAAGCACACAUACAAGAAUUAUUAUCUAAAACGUUACGACGAAACAAGUCAUAUUCGAUAAAUAUAUCUAUGUAACAAUGACUUGAGGGAUUAAAUCAAAAGCUCAUCAUUUUUUAUACAAAAAUAAUGUUAUUAUUCUAAAACAAUUCCUCAACUUAUAGAAAUAUAUGUAUCAAUGACUUUAGGGACUAAAUUAAUAACUAAUCAUGUUUAUUAAAAAAAUUAAUGUUAUUAUUCUAAAACAAUCCAUCACCUUAUAGAAAUCAGCAGACCCGGCCUUGAGGGUGUGCAAGGUGCUCAAUCAGGCCAGGCCUCCAAAUGCUACGGGCCUCUAACGAAAAUUAAAUCUAAUAUCCACCCCCCACUUAAAUAAAAAAUAUAUAUGUUAUAUCAUUUUCUUUCUUUAGUACACGUUUGAGUUUUUUCUAGACUCUAGUUCUCUUUUUUGCACAUAAAUCGGAUCCUAUCAAACCACCCUUAAUUUGUAUAAUCACUUAAUCAGUCAAUUUGAAAAGUUAUUCAUUGAAAGAAUCACAACAAUCAUUUUUUUCUUCGUAUAAACCAUUCGUUUUACCCUUUUCCACAACAGAGGAGUGACAAAUUCAAACGACACCGUUAGAUAAAUUUCAUCUCUUUCACUUAUUUUUUUUUAAUUCCUUUCAUGUUUAGAAGUUCUUUUGAUUUUGAUUUUUUUUUUUUAAUGAAAUUUAGCUACACAAAAAAGUUAUGUUUUAUUUUACUAGGGACCUAUUUUAAAAAGAGAGCCGAGCCUUCUAUUUCACAGGGAUGGUCCUGGAAAUCAGUCACUAAUACACGCUACCAUCAAAUUGACGUCAAAGACUAAUUUAGUUAUUAUCUCUUUGAAGAUUGAAUUGGGUUGUGAGAAUUUUUAUGACAGAAUAAAUUGUAUUUUUAUUCUAGAAAAUUGUUCGAGACACCUUAAUUUUAUUCCCAAUCGGAACGUAACUCUUAAUCGAUUAUUUUAAUUUGUAAAAUUCGAUCGAAUCGUAACUUUUUACCUACUAUUUUCAAUACAAUGAGUAAUUUUGAGGUGACUAACACUAAAAACCAUUAAAAGAUAAUGCAAUGGACCAACUUAUCUAGGCCCAGUACUUUUUCUAUAAGAAAGUAAAGCAACCCUAACCCGUUUACUACAACAUCCACUUCUCAUUUUCACAAACAAAUACAGCCGCUCCUUGUCAUUAUCCAUUUAUCAAACCCUAGAAUCAUAUACCCAAGAAUAAUGUGACAUUAACAAAUAACCAAAUAUGAAUGUUACUUUUUCAAUUUCUUUCUUAUUGGAUUGCAAAAUCUGAAUGUGUAUUUCGUUAUUAUUUUAAAAUUUUAGAAAUUUCACCUAUCUAAAUACUAAAAGGUUAUAAAUCUUACCUGUCUGAACUCUAAAUUUCUGAUAAUUUCAAGGGGCUUAGGAAAAUUCACGAGGAUUAAAAAGGUUUAGGAAAAUGCGCGAGGAUUAAUAAAGUUGUUUCAAAAGUGUCACAAAAUAUUCAUGCAAAUAUUAUUACUCAAUCGUCACAAGAUGCGUGCACGUGUGUACUAACUAUGUCACUAACAUCCACAUAAAGUUAUUGUAUUUUUUUUCAUUUCAAUUUCAACGUAUUUGAUUUUUCUUCCGGAGUUUGAUUUCGCCUCUGAGAACACACCAUCAACAUUAAAAACUUUAUGGAGAGUUUAACUGUUCAUUGCAGUAUUACCCUAUUCAAAGGAUUACUCUUUCACGGUUGCGUACAAUGAUAUUGUAUCAAAAUUAAAACAUUUUUUUUUAACUGUUAAGCAUAUGAAAAAUCAAAAAUAUAUGCGAAAAGGCUUGUACUUGUGCAUUUCUAAUGAGGUGUAUUCCAACCUUUCAAACAAAACAAAUAAUGGUAAAACAAAAAUUUCCAUGUUACACCUGACCAACAUCAACAAUCAAGAAUUUUACUGUAAACUACUUCAUUACAGAGUAAAAAGCUAUGACUCUACAAAAGCCAAUUGAUAGUAAUGUUGCCAAGCCAAAUGAACAAUGGGAACUGAACCAGAGCGAUAAAGAGCAAGAGAUAGUGAUGUUUGCUCGAGUCGUAACUUCUGACCUCCGCAAAAAGGACUCGUUUCAUAGUUUUUACCAAGAAUACUCCCAUACAUAAACAGGUCCAUGGCAUUAAAAAGUAGUAGGAGUAUCCAGAUAUUAUUCUUCCAAUGACAGCCAAACAAAUGCCGGUGAAAGUGUAUCCAGCAUAUGCUAUGAUGUCUAGCAAGGGUGCUUCGCCGCUUCCCAAUGAAAGCAAUGUCACCUUAAGCAGUGCAGCUUGCAUAAACCAACCAAGCAAUCCCUUGAUGAAUAACAAGUUCAAUGCUUCUGGACUAAACCUGAACAUUCAUACAUGAUCGGUAAGAAACCAAAGCAAAACAAACUACAGAAACGAAUUGGAAAUGGAACCGUGUUUCAAUAAACAGUUUCAUUAAGCGCUUAUCAUAAUAGUUGAUUCCAUAAACUCUCAGAUACGUAAAUCCAAACAGACUCUAAAUGAGUUAUGUGAAGUGAAAAAAUCCAACUGUGAAAAUCUUAAAAUAACAAUCAUGAAAAGAAAAAAGCAAUGUCUACAACAGCUAAGAAGCUAACUCAUCAUCUAUGCCUUCCAAUAAAGUUCUUACAGUUUUUUAGAUGGAAAUACAAAUAUAAAAUUAAAUUUUUGAAUUAAAAAAUAACAGCCAAAAUAUUUCCUGCAACCAAUGCCAAGAAAAAUGUUGAAACUAAAACAAAUCAUCAGACAGUGACAAAAUCCCUUGCAGAAAACAAAGUUGUCAACAUUCAACACUGCUAAUAGAGUACCAUGCCACAUGUGUUAGGACCAUACAAAUUUGAGAAAAUUAAAUAGAAAAUGUGUUUGCUCAGGACUACAUUAUCGAAUCAAGGUAGAGGAAGAGGAAUACGUACUUCCCAUGAAGACCCAAUGAGAGGCCAGCAAGAACGACGUAGGUACCAAAUGCCAUUAAUGGAAUGUAAAGGUCUGGUGCAUUAAUGUCAUAUAUCGGUGGUUUAUAGGAGAGCCUACCACCAACUGGCUCAGUGAUUCUAGUCCAAUGACCCUGAAUCACAAAACAAACGAGAUAAGAGAAGCAUUAAGAUGAAAUAAGAUAAUCAAAUGAAAAUAUGAGAGAAAUAGAAAGAGUUUGAAGUUAUUGCUUACCCUGUGCAGAAAUGGAAACAAAACCACCUUCAACUUGUUUUUAACGUAAUGGUCAUUCACUUGAAAGUAGUAUUGAGGAUCAGAAAAAUACCGGCUUAUCUGUAAUUCAAUAUACAAGACUCAUUUAAAAUGAAAACCUUGAAUUUAUACCUUAUCUUAUCCGUACAUGACAUGAGAGAAGAUAGAAAAUCAGGGAACAUUAAGCUAUUAUAUGUCAUGUUUCAGAUACGUUUUUUUUUCCGCUCAGUCGAGCCUACAUUUAUCAAUAUGUAAUCAUGGAAAGUGAUAUAUUCAGAUGAAAAUCACAGGUUACCUCCUAACGUCUUAACAGAAGCAAUCUUGUUCAAAACCCACAGAGCAACAAAGGUAUGACAUCUUCUUAAGAAAUAUGGUUUUCACUUUUCACAAAGAAUCAAACCAGAGACAUCCCUCUAAAGAAUAUUCGUAUACAUAUCCCACAAGGUUUAUCAGGUUUCAUGGAAUGUAAUUUUGAACAUCAAAUUAGACGCUGUUCUUUUAAAUGGGGAUGUUAAUUUGAUUUCUCAAUGUAUCUUUGCAUAUCAAUUUGGUCACUAAACUAAAGCAUAUUUUAUACUAUGAAGAACGAAAUUUCCCUAUACACCAAUAUAUUUGGAGAACCGAUUUGAGUAUUUACUCAAAUAACAAUUCAAGGGAAAAUAUAAAGAUCUAAUCUUAUGAACCCCAAGGCAAAUUAAAUAAAUAAUUAGAAGGGGAACAAAGCCAUUUUGUUCUUACAUUGCUCUGGACAUACUCCGAGCUGGAUCCUAAUAUUUUGCCGCCAUAUGCACCCAAGCCACCUCGAAUAAGUCCUGAACCAGCAACUUGAAAUGCACUCCCAAAAGGAUUAGGCUGUGUGUUUGUUGGAGGCUGCACAACCCCAGGUUGUGAUCCAACAUUAUUAUACAUUCUUACACUGCUACACAAAAAAAAACCACAAAAGAAGUAAUGAGAAACAAGUUCAAUGUUCAUCAAAACCCGCAUUCACGUCAACAUAACAAUAUGUAAAAGACAUAGAAACCCUCUUGAAAUGAAAACAGAUGUGGCAAAAAUCAAUAUGUGAUUGAAUUGAUUUUGAAAAUCGAUAGUUAAAAGUGAAUUUAAGGUAAAAUGAUUUAUGUUUGGAUGUGAAAGUGAGUUGAACAAUAAAUUUGAUUGUAAAAAUCACUUUUGGUUAUACGGUGACAAAAAUUAAAUUUGAGUGGCUAAAAUGAGUUGAAGGUAAAAUGAUUUACGUAUGAAUACAUUGAUAUAAAAUUGAGUUGAUCAGAAAAAUUGAGUAUAAAAUUCAAUUCUAGAAUCAAAAGGUGAAACUUCUAGCUUCUAGUUGGAAUCAAUUAUCAAGACAAAAUCAAUUCGACUCGAGAGAGAAACCAAAAUGUUAAAAUCAAGUAUAAACCUCUAGAAUCAAUUUUGGUUGAUUCAAAAGUGGAACGAAACAUAUACUAAAUUAGAGUGUACAAAUCACAUUUGAGGCAAAACUACAAAUCCCAGCUUCAAGUUAUAAUGAAUUCUAGAGGCAAAAACCAAUUCUAAUCAGAAACUCUAAAACAUACCAAAAUCAAUUAAUCACUUUUCCCCAAUGUGAAUCCAAACAUGCACUAAUCAGAAACCAACAUUUUCAACAAAUCAUUACAAAUAACAAAACCAUUCAUAAGAUUGCAAAGAAGAAAAUCAUAGACAAUAUGAACACCCAUUUCACCAAUUUAUUCAAUUAUCAAUAAUUUAAACAAAACAAAUAAAACCAAAAUAAUCACAGAUUCAAAAACCCAUUUUUACAUAAAAAAAAAUAAAAUAAAAAUAAAAUCACGGUUGCAUACAAAUCUGAAGCAAUAUAGAUAAAAUUUGUAAACGACCCAUUAAGUAAAUUAGAUUAAAGAUGCAAACUUUAUAUUUAGAGAUAGAAAAAGGCGUCAAAAUGAAUAAUGGGUCGAUCGAGAGAGAUUGAAUGUGUGAAGAGGAAAAAGGACCUGAAGAGAAGAUGAUGAGAUUGGUGGCGGUCGAAACAAGAAGGGUUGUUACCGGCGAAAGGGAAGUGAGAUCUGAGAGCUGUAAGAAGAAGAACUGUAGAGGCAAAAACGGUAUUUGGAAUGCUUCUUUCUGUUUUAUUUGUAUUGUUUUUUCGAUUUUUUAUUUUAUUUUUUUAAUCACAUUUUCAUUUUUCCCAAGUCCCUCUUAAUUUUAUUCCUUUUUUUUUUGAGAGAAAUUAAUUUUAUUAGUUUUAUUAAUAGUUCAACUAUGACAAAAAUUAAUUUAAAAAAAAAUUUGAUUAUGUAAAAUUGAUUUCGAUUAAUAGUGAUGUAAAUGUAAAAUAAUUAUUGUUUGUAUACAUUUAUGCAAAUGUAGGUCGUAUUAUAUAUUUAUGGGUAAAAAUUUAAAAGUUACAAAUAUAAGUUUUAAACAUAAUCAGUUUGGUCGACAAAAUCAUUACUAUUUAAAAACAAUCAAAUAUCUUAAAAUUAAUUCUACAUUUUUAAAAUCAACAUUAACGGCCUUCGUGAGCUUAGCUCAGUUGUUAAGGACAACAUAUAAUAUAUGCAAGGUCUGAGGUUCAAAUAUCGCCGCCACAAAAAAAAAAAAAAAAUCAACAUUGACUCAUUUAGAAGGGAAAUCAAACAUAGACUAAAUGCUCUCGGAGAUUGAUCGUAGUAGACUCGACGGGUUAAUAUAUAUAAAUGGUUGAAUACAUUUUUUGAUCAUUUAAGUUCGACAAAAUAUUAGGUUAAUCUUUAAGUUUUUUAAAUUUCAAAUAGGUCAUUCAAGUUGUUAAUCUAAUGCACUUAUUUGAGGUUUUUAAGUUUCAAAUAGGUUUUUAAAUCGUGUUCUUACUAGGCAUGACAACAAAAUAUCUACCGAACUCACUCGAUUGGACGAGGGCUUUUCUGCUUUGACUGAGUUUGAGUAUGUGUUUGAGUUUUUCACGUUUUCAAAACACUGAUAUGAGUGCAUAACAAUGAUAUAUGUACCCAUCCGAACUCAUACUCAAACCCUUCUCGAAUGUAGAAAAUUAUUUUAGGGUUAAUUAAGUUUUUAGUCCCUACAAAUAUUCACAGUUUUGUUUUUAGUCCCUAAUAAAUAAAAUCACACUUUUUAGUCCCUGUGACAUUUUCCUUAAGCAUUUUAGGAACCAAAAAUGUUGAUGGAAAUUUUUAUAGAGACUAAAAAGUGUGAUUUUAUUUUGUAGGGACUAAAAAUAAAAUUCUGAAUAUUUAUAGGGACCAUUUACUUAAUUAACCCAUUAUUUUAUUACCCAUUGAGAUGUCAUCUUAUAAAAACUACGAUUUAAAUUUAAAGGAACAAUAAAAUUAUUCAGUCAAGGAAUGUUAAAGUAAAUAUAUUGCAGGAUAAUACAUUACAACAUUGUCCUUAAAAAUGAAAGAACAACAUGUUUAUAAAAAAAAUCUAUAUAAAAAAUACAUGUUAUAAAUAAUAUUGCAGCAAAACUUUAGAAAUUCCUAUUAAAUGGUGCAUUUUAGGGUCAGAUUACAAAAUAGAUAACUUUUAGAGGCAAUGUGAUAAAUAUUAACAUGCAUAGGACUCUUUUGUAUAUAACUUUUUCUAGUUGAUGAUAUUAUUAAAGAUGGGGGAAGACUGAAGAGGAACCGCUACUGAUUUGGAAAGUUGAUGAUAAGAACUUUCACUAAAUAUUGUGGUGUGGUGCUACAACUUUUUCUUUUUUGACAAUCCGAGUGGUGCUGCUACUUUCCCUAUUUAUAUUCUAAAUUCACUAAAAUGUUCAUGUCCACUACCGAAAAAUAAAUAAGUAAAUAAAUGCUACUGUCUAUCUACUCAUAUCUUCUUAUUAAUAAUGCUCAUAAUACUACUACUACUACAAAGUAAUAAUGCAUAAUGUAACUCCAAACAGUUGAUCUAGUGAAUCAUCAUGACAUAAUUUGUAUUGAAUUUUAAUCCUCCACUAAUUCUUUUAGAAUAAAGCAAAUGUAAUUCUUUUUGUAAGGGUUCAUUUUAAACUGAAGAAUCAUCUUUGGUCUACAUUUUUUAUAAACCAAAUCAUAUAAAAUGGCAAAAUUUGACGGAAGGAUCAAUUUGAUCAACGUUUGUAAAAUUCAAGGACCUAUUUACUAUUUUGAAAAAUUCGGAGAUGAAAUUGACCCGUGCAUAUAAAUUUAGAGACAAAAUAACCUAUUCGAUCCCUCUUUUAUUUCCACUAAUUACUCUUUCUUUUUGUGUGUAUUGCACUAAAAAAAAAGCAGAAAAAUUAAAGUAAAAGCAUGGUUCUUUUCCUUUUUCUCUUCAAUUCUCUUUAAUCUUUACCAAUUCAAUCAUACAUGAAGUCUCUAAAUACCGUCAUAAUUUAAUCGACAAGCCAAUGAGGUUGCUCACACUUUGCCUCCAGUAACCAUAGGUCUAAUGUGCCAUAAUUUUUCUAUUCCCUUAAUGCUGCUACUUUAAAAAAAUAUUUUAAUACAUUGGUAUAUGAAAAAUAUAUAUCUUCUAAUUAAUAAUUGAAACGUUAUCCAAUCUUGAACUUUAAUAAUGUGUCUUAUCAUUUCAUAUCUUCCCUCAUAAGGAAUUAAAACUGAUCAUGAUAUAUAAAUUCCCCUAAAGAUUUCAAUUUAUGUUGUAACUCUUAGAAGAAGAAGAAAGAUGUAUGUGACUAGACCUUUGUCUAUGUACAGAAAAUCUCCAAGUAGUUUGGAGAUACCACCACCAGAUGCACCAUAUUCAGGCUAUCUAGUAAUCACAGAUGAAGAAGCAGAAUAUGAAGACACAUGUUGUUGGCGAAUAUGUCGGCGAAAGAAUGUGAAGAAGCUUCCUUUCCCUCAAGACAAAUUGUUCUCAGUUUUUCAUCCUUCAGAGAAUGAACAAACUACAAGUAUUAGGGUUUGGUUUCUUCCUGUUCCUGAUCAUUCUUUGUCUUCUAACAGAUACUAUGUAAUCCGAGCUAAAGGCAGACACAAAGGGUAUGUAUGUAUUAAAUAUUUUGCAUAGUGUUGCUUCGUAUUAGUAUAUGAGUAAAUUGUCAUUUUGGUCCGUAAAUGUGUGAGGUGGUGCUAUUAUAGUCUCUAAAUGUAUCUAAACUUUGAAAAUAUCUAUGGAUGUGUCUUCUGCUAGUAAUUUUAAGCACCAAACGAAGAAACUGAACACAUGUUUGACGACAAAAUUGACGAACGAAAGACACAUUUAGUGAUGUUUUAUAAAUUUGGUGUAUUUGUAGAGACUAUCGUGACACUGCUUGACAUAUUCAAGAAUUCAAACCAAUUGAACUUAAUUCUUCCAUAUGCUUACUUAGUGUGUUUGGUUUCACGUUUGCAACACAGAAAAGCACGUUUGCACGCUUCCCGAUGCAUUUUUGCCGUGAUUUUCAUCAAACUCCGUUUUGCAAACGCAAUACCUAACAUGCACUUAGUUACUUGUCUUUGUUUUCUGUGAGAUUUUAUAUUUUUUCAACAAUAAUAUGUGCCAUAUGAUCUUCUUUUGUCAGUAUGGAACUAUAAUUGAUCAUGUGCUCAAGCUUAUAAGGUUGUUUAAGUCUUUUGUGCUGACAUUAAUGUUUGUUAUUAUUAUUAUCAGUACUUCAGAAGCCUGUCCAAUUGUUAUGCUUAGCAAUUAGCAUAAGCUGAAUUCAUAACUAAGAUUAUGUCCUAGUAUGGAUUAAUAUCUAACUUAUAAGAGUUUCUCAUUUAAGUUCAUAGUUCUUAAAAAGAAGUAAAGAAGUCACUAUAAGCUUAAGUAUAUGGAAACUCAAAUGAGAUAGCUUUUAAGAGAAUUGAGAUAAAAUAACUAUUUUUAACUUAUAUGAUAAGCUAUUGUUUAAAAAACUUUCAUGUUUAAGAAAAAAAACUCAUAGUUAUUAUAGAUUUAUAGGAUUAUUUUUACGUGUAUGUUUGAAAACAAUUACGAUUAAGGCAAAAGCUACACUUUAGAGCUUCAACAAAAUCGUAGUGUCAUUGUGAUUUCGUCAAACUCAUCGUGGUUUCUGUUAAGAGUCCCACAUUGGACAGGUGAUGAUCUAACAAUGUGUUUAUAAGUGGGGGCAAUCCUCACCUUAUACAAGCUGAUUUUGUAAGGAUGAGUUAGGCCCCGAUGUGGGACUUGAGUUUUUCCCAAUAGUUCCAGACAUGCACAUGUCAAAUAACAUUUGUAGUAGUGUGCCUCAUAAAAAUUCACACAUACUCACAAAAUGUUGAAACUUUUGUGAUUUUGUAGGAAAGUAUACAAAUGUUCAAGAGAAGGUGACAUAGUGAGUUGUUGCUUCAAUAAUCUCUUGAAUGACAAAAGUCCAAAACCAUUCAAUCUAAAAGACUUGCACCAGAUUUUCAAGAUUCAUACUCAUCAAAGUGGUGGUUUCUUUGCAAAAUCAAUUACACCAGAUGGAAUUCCACCAAAAUUCCUAAGAAAAAAAGGAUGGAAAGUUAGAAUUUCAGGUUCAUAUAGAUCAUGCAAACUAAAUGAAGCUCUAGGUGUUGAUUUUCCUCUAAGAGAAAAGCUUCCAAGUUUUCAUUUUCCUAUCUCAAGAAAAAAUUCACCACCUUUAGUUGUAGGAAAAUGGUAUAUUCCAUUUAUAUUUGUGAAAGAAAGUGCAAGAAAAGUCAAACAACAAAUGAAAAAGUCAAUGUUUUAUAGUAUGACACUUGAGCAAAAAUGGGAAGAGAUUUAUUCAUGUGGAAGGAAUGAACAUGAAAAUGAGAAUCAAAAUGAAGAUGAUGUUGUGAUUGUGAAUGUAUAUGUUGAAAGAGAAAAGGUAUUGAUAUGUGGAACGGAGGCUACAAAGAAUGGAACAAUUGAUAAUAAUGGUUUUAUGUUGUUUAGGGUUUAUAAUCCUUAUAAUAAGAGAAGGGUUAGUGUUGGAUUGAGUUCAGCAAUUAUUGAGAAUAUGAGAUGGGUUGAAGAGCAAGGUGGUUGGGUUUAUGGUAAUGGGAGAGAGAGGGUUGUAACAGUGAAAGAAGAGGUAACAUGUCAAAAUGAAUGGAAUAGGUUUGGUUGUUAUGUGUUGGUUGAAAGUUUUUGUCUUAGGACAUUGGAUGGAAAGUUGGUUUUGAGAUAUGAUUUUAGGCAUACUCAUAAGAUUAAGUGCAAAUGGGAGUAGGAAUCAAGUUUUAGAUUUUCACUCUCUAAAUACAUUAAGGUUAUAUUUGGUAACACGGUACACUAAUUAUUCUUGCGUGUUUAGGCAACUUCAAACAAAUCCAUUGUGAAUUUUGCGAAGCAAAAAAUCAGAGAGAUGGACUGAAAAGUCACAUUAACUAUUAUAAAUGGUGUAUUUUUAUAUGAUGUCGAAAUAUGUUACUAGAUUUUUGAUGUUAAAACCACAUUAUUGAAUGCUAAUUGUUAUGGUUUUAACAAAAGUUUAAAUUCUAUCUUGAGCUUUAGUAUAUUGUUGUUUACUUAGUAUAUAAGCUAUCAUAAAAUUCGAAUAAAUGAAUAAAUAUUAAUCAAACAUUUAACUACUAAUAUUUGCCAAAAAAAACUACGUACCAUGAAACUUUGUUACAUAAUUCAUGUCUUGUCUUGUGACAAUUAAUAAAAUGAAUAUGUUUGAUUUUGGACACUGGAAUUAUCUGCAAAGUUUUGGUUAUAAAAAUCAUUAUUUAGAUUAUUAAUAGUAUAAACACAUAUAUGUUGAAGCCUAAUGAGAAACUUAUUAGUCCACCUAUGUGAGUGCCCAUUUAUCCACAAAUUUUUAGGAUGUGGGACUCUCUUAUUUAUUUCCAAUUACAACACUACUAAAUACAGAAUAGAAAUGAAACGUGGACUAUGAAUGACCGGUAGUAUAAAAGAAUUUUCUAUAAUCCCCAACCACUGGCAUCAAUCAAAUUAACAGUCAAAUCUUACUAUGCUCCUGAGGCACCAUCACUAUCGUUCUUGAAAGUAAAAAAUAAAAAAAAAACAUAUUUAAAUAUCUUUUGUUAAUCAUUUUGAUCUAUAAAUGUGUAUUUUGUUGAUUAGUUUAGUUUUUAUAAGUGUUUUUUGUUUUUAUUUCAUAAAAUUAUUAAUGAAAAAGAUAUUUGAAAGCGUGUAGAUAAUUUCAAUGCAUUUAAGAAAUAUAGAACAACAUCUCAUACGUUCUCAUGAACUUAACUUGAUAAGAGAUAAUGUAUAAUAUAUGUAAAAUCUGGAGCUCGAAUCCAAACACCCCACUUAUUAACCUUUAAGGUAAAUUUCUCUAACCGAUUGACUGCUUGACCCAAAAAAAAGAGAACAACCUCUCAUACAUCCAAGACCAAAAUGUUUGUUUGUCCAAAUAUAUUUUAAUUGGUGCUAUAGGAUGGAGAAUAAGUGGAGUGGAACAUAUAAACCAAUAUUUACUAUAUUUUAUAAAAAAAAUUAGAAAAAGAAGGUAUGUAUUUCCUUUACUUAAAUAAUCAUAUUUGAAAUGUGUCAAAUAUUAAAUAUAGAUAUCUCUUUAAUAUUCAAAAUUUGAUUCGCCAUAACUAAAUUCAUUGGUUUCUAUUUUAAACAUUUAAAUAGCUUAUCCAAUUUCAUUCACUCUUUUACAUAAUAUACUAUAUAUAUAUAUAUAUAUAUAUAUAUAUAUAUAUAUAUAUAUAUAUAUAUAUAUAUAUACCAUCAAUCCAAACAUGCUUUAAGAAAAUACAAAAAGAAACAAAAUUGAGUUGGACUGCUGACUCAAUAACUUCCAAUAGUCAACAAAUCCAUACAACAUUUUUGUCUUUAGUGUCUGUCACAUGAGUAGUAGUAAUAGUCAAAGACUCAAAGUCUCAAAUUUAGUUUAAUUUCUUAACUCUACAUUUCAAGUUUCAACAUCAACAACUCUUCUGACUAUACUUUUAUGUCCAUACAUUUCAUGGUUUGAAGAUCCAAACACAGAGAACAAAAUGAAAUCUGUCAGUAAUAUUUCAUGUGUGUUCUCACUUCCUAAUUCAUCACCUUACUUCAACUUUCAAGGUACACCAUCACCCUUGUUUUUUUUUUUUUUAAUUAUACACAUUUUUUUAGUUAAUUUAAUUUAACUUAGGUAGAUCUAAUCUUAAUUAAUUUCCUCUUCAAGUUGUUUAAAACUCUGAAUAACAUGCAUAAAUGCUGUAAUUAAAUUCACAUGAGUUUAUUGAAUUUGACAAAUUUUGAGUAGACACAAUACAAGAUAGCUUAAGGUUUUUAAUAAUGUUUAUAUGGUUUUAUAAUGUAGAUAUUUUAAACACCUCCAGUUAAUAUAUUUUUUAUUUUAUAAUUGAUUUUUUUUGUUAUUUAACUCAGAUUCAGCUAAAUGUCAAAAUUUAAAUAAAAGAAAAAGUAAUAACUUAUCCAAGAAACAUUGAACAAAAAUGGAAAUUUGAAAGUUAAUCCUGGCAAGUUAAAAUUAGCUGCAUGGUUAAGCUAAUUUAAUUGGUUAACGAGUAAACACUCAUUUUGGUCAUCAAGGGUGGAAAAAUAUACUUGAUUGCAUCUUUCGUUACUCAGUCCUAAAACAUGUCUUUUGUUAGUUAGUUUGGUUUGAAAUGUUUGAUUUGAAACGUGUCUUAUGUUAGUCAAUUUGGUCAAGACCAAGUCUAUGGUGCACAAGGGACAUAUGUAAUUGUUUCUACCAUUGGAUCAAUAAGUCUCGCCGUUAAAUUAAAUGAAAUUUAUUGAUCCAACCGUGGAAAAAUAAACUUGUGCGUGGUGGUGGUGCAAUACUAUUUUGCUUGCGCACAUUAGACAAAGUCUUUGGUCCAUAACAAAAGACACAUUUUCUUAGGUGGAACAAAUUCUUACUUCACUGCUGAACUCCGAAUUACCAGAGCCCCUAUUCUUAGGAACCGAAGGGUUAACACAAAAAUAAAGAAGACACAUUUAGGGAUAUUUUUGUAUUUCAAUACAUUUAAUUCAAGUACUAUAAUGACUAGAACUAGAAUGAUUAUCAGUGUUACAUUUUUUUUUUGUUUUUGAACUUCAGUUGAAAAGCAAUGGCCUCAAAGAUUUUCCUUGAGUACAAAGCCAAUGCAUCUAAGGUAUUCAAAUGGAUGCAAAGUGAGAGCAACAUUGGAUACUAAUAAAUCAAUUGAAAUUCCUCAUCAAUGGUACAAUCUAAUUGCUGAUCUUCCAAUAAAACCACCUCCACCAUUGCAUCCCAAGACUUUUGAACCAAUCAAGCCAGAAGACUUGUCACCUCUUUUUCCUGACGAGUUAAUCAGACAAGAAGUGACAACUGAUAGAUUCAUAGAUAUACCGGAUGAAGUUCGUGAUGUUUACAGUCUUUGGCGCCCAACUCCUCUCAUCAGGUUUGAUUCAUAUCUACCAUAUGUCUAAGGUUUUAAAUUGUGGUCGUGUCAUGAUGUUUGAUAUUGAGGAAAAUCGCGAUGAAAUAUGGUUGAUGCCUGAUGUAACCUCAAUUUCAAUCGUAGAUAGGGCUGUUUAUUGUUCGGUUCAAAAAGGAAAACCGAACUGGAUAUUGAACAGUUAGAAUAACUCAAUAAAACUGAACCGAUCGUUAUGAACAGAAGUGGUAUGAAAGUUCAGUGCAUUGGUUAUGUGGUUCCGAACCGGAACUACAUUUACAGAAAACCGAACUGUACUUUUUCGAACUGAACUGUACCAAAUUACUAUUAUCGACUGAUAACUAGGACUGUUGAAAAAAUCCGAACCAUAUCGAAUAUUAGGUACGUUUUAAGAAAAACUAAAAAUUGAACUGAACCAUUAACUCCUCCGAAAAGAACCGAACUGUGACAGAUAGCUCACGAUAUGAACGUGAACUAUAAGUCACAAUUAGAUUCUUUUAGGUUCGGUUCAUUUUUUUGGUAUUGAAACAGUCUAGUUGCAAAUCUUUUCCGAAUGGAUAAUACUUAGAUACAGUGCUAUCGGCAAUGCUCCUACUGCUCCAUCAAAAAAGGUAUCAUUAUUGUCACCAAAUUUUUUGAAAAGGCAUAAAAACUACUUGGGAGAGGAACAGUAAAAAAAGUAAUUGCAUCACUGCAUGCAAGUUUAAUCCUAUUUUAAAACCCUGCAUAUAUAUAACUCUUUUCCUUUUCAUCUUUCUGAAUUCUAGCUAGAGGAAUCUUAUAUACACGUUUCUUAUGAUUUUAGAGCCAAGAGGUUGGAAAAGCUUCUUGAUACACCUGCUAGAAUUUACUACAAAUACGAAGGUGUAAGUCCAGCAGGGUCACACAAACCUAACUCUGCUAUUCCACAAGCAUGGUAUAAUUUACAAGAAGGUGUCAAGAAUGUUGUGACAGAAACUGGUGCUGGACAAUGGGGAAGUGCAUUAGCCUUUGCUUGCAGCAUAUUUGGCCUUGGAUGUGAGGUACGAAACUAUUGGUAUUAAAUUCAUGAAGAUUUUAUCUUCAAUGUUUUACUAACUUCUUGCUAGUAUACUGUUACAUUUAACUAUGUGUGUUACGCGCCUUUAUUCUGGUUGUAAGUUACAAAAGCCAUGAAACUGUAAUGUUUAGUUAGUUUCUUAAUCUUUGUGCAGGUGUGGCAAGUACGCGCUUCGUAUGAUUCGAAACCGUAUCGAAGAUUGAUGAUGCAAACAUGGGGAGCAAAUGUGCAUCCAUCUCCAUCUAUGCUUACCGAGGCAGGUCAAAGAAUUCUUCAAAAUGAUCCAACAAGUCCAGGGAGUUUAGGCAUAGCUAUAUCAGAAGCUGUGGAAAUAGCUGCUAAAAAUCCUGAUACCAAGUACUGUUUAGGAAGUGUACUAAAUCAUGUUUUACUUCACCAAAGUGUUAUUGGAGAAGAGUGCAUUAAGCAAAUGGAAGCUAUUGGAGAAACUCCUGAUGUUAUCAUAGGAUGUACCGGUGGUGGAUCCAAUUUUGCCGGACUCAGUUUUCCUUUCAUUAGGGAGAAGCUUAAUAACAAAAUUAAUCCUGUGAUUAGAGCUGUUGAACCUACAGCAUGUCCUUCAUUAACAAAAGGGAUAUAUACUUAUGAUUAUGGUGAUACAGCAGGGUUGACUCCUUUGAUGAAAAUGCAUACACUUGGCCAUGACUUUGUUCCUGAUCCAAUUCAUGCUGGUAACUAAUUUUAUAUGCUAAAAUAGUUUGUUUCAUAUUUAUUUAUUUUUUGUUUAGACCCCUCAACUAUGAAGCACCAAUGCAGAUAUAAACAUUGGAUACGAUACUGAAACAUAUAUAUUGAUAAUAAUUUGAGAAUAUAGAAGUGUCUGACACUAACACAUGUUAGACAUCAAACACUUCUUCAAUCCAAAGUGUCUAUGCUAGAUAGACUCUCAUUAUAAUCUGAGUAGAGCCACAAGGACCUAAAUAGGGGAGAAAAGCUCUUCCAAUGCCUAUAUUUUCAUUCACAAAACUCGAGUGUGAGAUGUUGUUUAAGGGAAACCGAACUCCUUGCCACUUGGACGACCUGGUGUUCUAGUGUCGUAUUUGUUAGCAUAUCUUUUGUAACGACAUUUUUGUUUACUUGUAGGGGGGUUGCGCUAUCAUGGUAUGGCACCAUUGAUCUCACAUGUUUAUGAGUUAGGUUUAAUGGAAGCAAUUUCUAUUCCACAAACUGAAUGCUUUCAAGGUAAUUUCUCCGUUCUUUUUGAACCGUCACUUUUGCAGAAAAAAAUUGUUCUAAUUUAUUUGUCAUAAAAUUGUGUAUUUUGAUUACAGGUGCUAUACAGUUUGCAAGGUCCGAAGGGUUGAUACCAGCUCCUGAACCAACUCAUGCAAUAGCUGCAACCAUUAGAGAAGCUCUUCAUUGUAGAGAGACUGGAGAGGCUAAGGUUAUUUUGACAGCAAUGUGUGGACAUGGCCAUUUUGACCUACCAGCUUAUGAGAAGUAUUUGCAAGGUAAUAUGGUUGAUCUUUCCUUCUCAGAGGACAGGUUGAAAGCUUCACUUGGAAAUAUUUCUAAAGUGACAUCUUGAGUUUGGCCUCAUUUUAGUACCAAGAGAGAGAAAUUCCAUCAGCAAUCUUUUUACGGCGUAUUAUGUAAAAAUAUCGAUGAGUUUGACAAAAUCAUUUUGGUCUAGUUUCUUAAGUGGGACUUACAUGAAUUUCGAUCAAUAAUAAAGGUCUAGUAUCUUAAGUGAGACUUACAUGAAUUUCGAUCAAUAACAAAAAAUGUAACAAAAUAAUGUGUAUCGAAGAAUAUGUCAUACUAGAUGCUAUUGAUUAUGUUUUAGAGUUUUUCUCUUUUAAUUUGGUGUGCUAGGAGUCUCUUUUCAUUAAAUAAAACUAGAUUUAAACCUGCGCAACAUAAUGAACACUUAUGUUAGAAGAUGCAAAUUAAGAGCUUGUUUGUUACGACUAUUUUAUUUUUGGUGGUUUAGGAAUUAAGAAGCCCUAAGAUACUAAUGAUACUUUCCUCAUAAAGAUGUUGUGGAACCUUAUUCACAAUUUGGAUGACCUGUGGUGCGGUGUUCUUUUAGACCAUCUCCAAUGGUCUAUUUAAUGUGCCAUUCAACACCAAGUUUGCUUCCAAUGAUGUGUUUAAUGUGUGUUGAAUGAGGGAAGAGAAGAGAGAGAAGGUGAACCGAUUCAACACAAUUUAAUCCUGCCAGGCCGGACACGUGGCGCUCAGAAAUUGGCCCAAAACGGGCGCGUGCGUUACACGCGCAGACAAGGCGCGUGACGCGUCAGACGUGCGGAGAGAGAAUGACUUUUUGGAUAGAUAAUGACACGUGGCGCGUUUUAAUUGGCUGUCCGGAUUCUUAUCAUUUUAAUAAUUUGACCUCAAUUAUUUCGUUGUAAAUUAAUUUAAAAAAAAAAAAAAUUACCAAAAUUCAUGAUUUUUUUUCCUCUAUAAAUAGAGACUUGGAUCAUUUGAUUUGGACACAGAAAAAAAAACCAAGUUUUUCACUAUCUUCAUCUUAUUAUUAUCUUUCUAUUAGCAAACUAAGUGAAGUUUUAAUCUUAUUUUUUGUGAAAUGGAUCCCAAUAAUAACCAUUUCAACACCCAAAAUUUUUCUAAUUACCCAUAUAACUACGAAAAUCCCAACAAUUAUCCAAAUCCAAAUCAAUUUUAUAACCAACGUCCUCAAAACAUACAUCAAAACGUACCUAAUUUUGGUUUUUCACCAAAUUUCAACCAGUCAUCCUCUGUUCCAAACUUUCAUCCAUAUUAUGGAUCUAUGAUGAGAUAUCCAUCUCAAACACCCCCGUUUAAUGGUUAUAUGCCAAUGGGGAAUGAAAAUUUUCCUAGUGUUGAUGCAACCCAAUAUCCUGAAUUUUCAACACAAAUAACUCCUGGUGGCAUGGCAGUUGCUGAUGAAGUCACUCCAGAAGAUUCAACUCCUAAGAGCAAGAGAAGUAAGGAACCAGCAUGGAACACUCAACAAAAUUUGGUUCUAAUAAGUGCAUGGAUUAAAUAUGGAACAAGCAGUGUUGUCGGGAGAAACCAGAGAGGAGAAACAUAUUGGGGUAAAAUUGCUGAGUAUUGUAAUGAGUAUUGCUCAUUCGAUUCUCCCCGCGAUCUAGUUGCCUGCCGAAACCGUUUUAAUUAUAUGAGCAAAAUAAUAAAUAAAUGGAUUGGUGCUUAUGAAAGCGCUAAGCGUAUGCAAGGAAGCGGUUGGUCGGAAGAUGAUAUUUUGACAAAAGCGCAGGAAUUGUUUGCAGGUGGGAAGAAUAUUCAAUUUACUUUGAAAGAAGAAUGGCACGCUCUCCGUGAUCAACCACGUUAUGGUAGUCAGAUGGGAGGAAAUGUAGGGUCAGGGAGUAGUGGAUCUAAGAGAUCUCACGAGGACUCUGUAGGAUCUAGUGCUCGUCCAAUGGGUAGGGAGGCAGCUAAAAAAAAAGGUAAAAUGAAAAGCAAGGGCGAGACAUUGGAGAAGGUGGAAAAGGAAUGGGUUCAAUUCAAAGAAUUAAAAGAGCAAGAGAUUGAACAAUUGAAAGAGUUAAAUUUGGUGAAAAAACAGAAAAACAAGUUGCUGCAAGAAAAGACUCAAGCUAAAAAAAUGAAAAUGUAUCUAAAGUUAAGGGACGAAGAGCAUCUCGAUGACCGGAAGAAGGAGCUGUUGGAGAAUUUGGAGCGUGAGCUGUUUGAAAAUUAAUUUUAAUCAAAUAUUUGUUUGUAUUCAGUCAACAUUAUCAGUGUUGUCUAGUCCCGACUGUUUGCUUUAAUAUUUGUCAGUGUUGUCUAGUCCGUAGUGUUUGCUUUAAUAAUUAUCAGAGUGUUGUCUAGUCCCCAAUGUUUACUUUAAUAAUUGUCAGUGUUGUCUAGUCCCCGUGACUUAUUUGCUUUAAUAAUUAUGUCCACUGUGUGCCCAUUAUUUGUCAGUGUUGUCUAGUCCGUAGUGUUUGCUUUAAUAAUUAUCAGAGUGUUGUCUAGUCCCCAAUGUUUACUUUAAUAAUUGUCAGUGUUGUCUAGUCCCCGUGACUUAUUUGCUUUAAUAAUUAUGUCCACUGUGUGCCCAUUAUUUCACCUACUAUAACUUAUUUCAAAUCCGUCAAUGUCCACCACACAAUGUACUUAUAUAUAGGGACUCAUAUCUACUUUCAAUUUCACAAGUCUCAUUAAAAUCUACUUUCAAUUUCACAAAUCUCAUUCAUAUCUUCUUCCAAAAAACCUAUCAAUGGAUCCUUUUGAUUUGGAAGCCUACUUCCAAAAACGUGAUGCUGAAGACACGUAUAUGGUCAACCGAUUUAUUCAGCGUCGAAAACAAAUAGAGGAAGGUAGUGGAUCUCGUAGUAGAAAAUAUUUAAAGAGAGAUCAUGCAGGGGCAAACCAAAGACUCAUUGACGACUACUUUGCCAAUGAGCCUACAUAUGACGAUGCAAUGUUUCGUCGUCGGUACCGGAUGCAAAAACAUGUCUUCCUUCGAAUCGUUGGAGACCUUUCAAGUAGUGAUAACUACUUCACCCAGCGAGUUGAUGCCGCCAACAAAGAAGGUAUAUCACCGUUAGCAAAAUGUACCACAGCAAUGCGAAUGUUAGCAUAUGGUGUGGCAGCAGAUGCGGUAGAUGAAUACAUCAAAAUAGGAGGUACUACAGCAUUGGAGUGCUUACGUAGAUUCUGUAAAGGAAUCAUACGACUGUAUGAGCAAGUGUACCUGAGAGCACCAACCCAAGAUGACCUUCAAAGAAUACUACAUGUUAGUGAAAUGCGGGGGUUCCCAGGGAUGAUCGGGAGUAUUGACUGCAUGCACUGGGAGUGGAAAAAUUGUCCUAAAGCAUGGGAAGGUCAAUUUACCAGGGGGGAUAAGGGAACCACCACAGUUAUUCUUGAAGCAGUUGCAUCUCAUGAUCUAUGGAUCUGGCAUGCCUUUUUUGGAUGUCCGGGAACGUUGAACGAUAUAAACGUUCUAGACCGGUCACCAGUGUUUGAUGAUGUGGAACAGGGAAAGGCUCCGAGGGUGAAUUACUUUGUGAAUCAACGUCCCUAUAAUAUGACAUACUAUCUAGCUGAUGGUAUCUACCCUUCGUAUCCAACUUUCGUCAAAUCAAUUAGACUUCCUCAAAGUGAACCCGAUAAGUUAUUUGCAAAACAUCAAGAGGGAUGUCGGAAAGACAUCGAACGUGCUUUUGGAGUGCUUCAAGCUCGAUUUAAAAUCAUCCGUGAACCAGCUCGCUUGUGGGACAUAGGCGAUUUGGGUAUCAUCAUGAGGUCAUGCAUCAUAUUACAUAAUAUGAUUGUUGAGGAUGAACGAGAUACAUAUGCUCAACGUUGGACUGAUUUUGAGCAACCUGGGGGAAGUGGAUCAAGUACAUCGCAACCAUACUCGACCGAGGUGUUACCAGCUUUUGCAAAUCAUGUGCGUGGUAGAUCCGAGUUGCGUGAUCCAGAUGUUCAUCACGAAUUGCAAGCAGAUCUAGUGAAACACAUAUGGACAAAGUUUGGAAUGUAUCGUGAUUGAAGAUGAUUUGUAUCGUACUAAAUAAAUUACUUGUGUGUUUUAUGCUUAGUUUGUUGUAUUGCAUUUUAAGUUAUUUGUGUGCCGCGUGCUUAGUUUGUUGUACUUGAAUUUGAAAUUAAGAAAAUAAAAAUAAAUUAUUUUACAAAUUUUUUUCUUCCAAAAAUACUAAAAAAUAAAUAGUUAAUUGUAUUAUUUUAAUUUAAUUAUAAUCGAUAAUUUUAUGUAAUUAUAAAAACAAAAAUUAAAUAAGAAUAAAAAAUAAAAAGUGGUGGGGUAGAGUGUUGAAUGAAAAACCAUUGGAGAGGGUAAAAGUUGAAUGUGUGUUGAAUAAGAGAGAGAAAAUGAUGUGGAGUGUUGGGAAUUGAAAAAGUGGUGUUGAAUGGUGAAAACCAUUGGGGAUGGUCUUAGCAAAUAUGAGAGAGAGAGAAAGAUCUCAUCUAAUCUUGCAAUGCACAACCUUAUUACUCCCCGAUAUGGAAAACUCUUUCAGUGUUUUGGAACGAUUUUCACCGUGAUGUGGUGAAGAAAACCGGUAAUGGUAGACAUAUCGAUUUUUGGUUUGAUAAAUGAGUUUCACAUAAUAGUGAGUUUAUUUCUUCAUGGAGAGAUUAAAUUAAAGCAACUAUCUUUAUGAGAUAUGUCUUGAACUAAAAUAGAGAUUGAGAUGUAAACUUUCAUAGUGAUAACCCACCGAAUAACGGGAAAAAGUUAAAUUACAUGCAAAUACUUAUGAAAUAAAGUAUUCAUAUUUUUUUAUCCUCCAAAAAAAUCAUUUUUUUUAUUUUAAAUAUUCUUAUAAAAAUGAGAAUAUGAAAAAAAAAUCUAAAAUCUAUUUCAAAUGAGAAAUUGUUUUUAGAAGCUUCUCUUAAAAAUCAUUUUCUUUAACUAAUUUAAAAAAUCAAACUCAAAAUUAUUAAAUAUCAAAGAUUAACUUGUUAUAAUCCAUAAGAAUAAGAUUUAAAUUGAGAGAAUUGCUCUUCUCUCAUCUGUUUUUGUUUAUUUCCGCUUUAUGUGAAAUUAAUGUAUCCUAAAAAAUGCACCUACAAAAAUUAACUCAUACUAAAAAUACACCUUUGUGAGUUAACUUAUGCUCGACUAUUUUAAUGGGAUGAGAAAAAGAGGAGAAAAGCAAUUAUCUUAAAUUGAUAGUGACACCAACCAAGUUACCAACUAGCACUCAUUUCAAUUUUCAUAACCCCAAAGUCACCUGACCGAAUUUGAAAACCACAGUCCGGUCACGUGCCACCCUAAUUUAAACCCGUAAAAAAAAACCAAAACCCAAAAAAAACCCCAAACAUUUCAUUUUCAAGUUCAGUUCUUCACUUUCUUCUCCCUCUUCCUCUCAUUUCUCUCUCAAAAUUCGAAAACGCGACAAAAAAAUCAAAUCACCAUGGAAUCGAUUCUCAUAAACUGCGUUCAGAAUAAUCUUCACCAUUUCAUGCACUCCAACGCUAUCUUCAUCUCUCAACUUCUCUGCGCUCAGUUCCCUUCCGAGGUUCUUCUUCUUCACUCUUUACUUCACUACUUUUUUUUCUCUAUUUUUUCAUUUUUUUUUGUUCAUUUCCAAAACCUAAUUGAAAAACAAGUUCGAUUGCGUAACUUUACGAGCUUAAUUUACUUCGAUUUUUUAUUUUAUUUUUUAUUUUGAUUUUUAGUUUGAUAGUUUGUUAUGUUACUGUGAAUCGAGAUUCAGUGAUUUUGUGUCAGGUUUAAUUGAUUUGUGGAUGUUUCGAGAUGGAGUGUUUGUAGGUUUGGAUUGAUUUGGAUUCGGUUUUGUUUUAGUCUCUGAAGCACACACUUUUGAUUGAAGGCGUGUCUGACACUGACAUAUGUGAAUAUGUUUAAUUAUGACAUUUUCUUAAAUUAGCACCAUUGUCGACGUGUAAGUGUAGUGUCCAUGAAUGUGUUUGUUGAGUUAGUUAAUGAGAAACCGUUUGGUUUAAUUGAUUUGUGGAAGUUUCUAGGAUCAAGUGUUGUGUUGGUAGCUUUGAAUUGAUUUGGAAUCACUUUUGUUUUUGGCUAAUUUGGGAUUUGAAUUUUGCUUUAGGUUUAUGUAUGUUUGUGUGUAAAGUAGUGUUGUUAAAUUAGUGUUAUGGUGUAGCACAAUUUGAACAAAUAGUGGUUGUAGUGGCCCUGUAAAUUUAUUUAACAAGACUUCCUUAAAGAUAGCUUAUAAAUAGCGUAUGUUUGUAUGAGAAGAAGUGUUGUUGAAUAGCGUUUUAGUGUAGCAGAAUUUGGACAAAUCGCUAUAAUUCCUUGAUACGUUAUUUAGUAUAAAAUGUUGUCAAAUAUCGGUUGUACUAUAAAAUGUUGCACUAUAGCGCUUUAGUGUAGUGGAAUUUGAACAAACUACUAUUUUUUCACUAUACCCGAUAGCCAACAUUGAUGUAAAGCUAUGUGGCACCAACACUUCUAAUCGAUGACGUGUCAUGUUUAGUGCUUCAUAGUCAUAGAUGUAAAGUUAUGAUGAUGAAAACGGUAUAUGAUGAUUUUCCCCCUCUUUUGGUAUUUGAAGUUUAUUGUGGAGUAAAACUUAAACGGGUUCCUUUGUGUUUGAAGGCUGUUUGCUGCUUCUUGGUACUUGUUAUACCUGUUUCUAAAAGUUUUGGUAUGAUUUUAAAUGGUUGUUUGGCAGUACAUGAAUCUGUUUUAUUGUAGAUAUUUUAGGUUAAGGAUUGGACGGUGUUUUGUGCUACUUUUCUUGAAAAGAAUAUUGUUGCCUGAGGACUUAACGUAAACCAACAUUAAUAUGUUGGAUUUAUUAGCGAUAAAUGUGAAUCAAACAUUUAAAUUGAAAAUCAGAAUUGGAAAAUGUCCGUAUCAAGUGGAAUCAUGAUCCUUGUUGUCUUAUACUCACAGAUUUGCUGCUGUCAGCAAUUUGGAACAGUUGAAUUGUAUUAAGAUCAGACGACAUACACUCAAAGAUCUUGUUUUAAUCCGAUUCACUGCCGUUUGAAUGCGAGUCAUUCUGAAUUGUUGACUGCAGUGAACACUUGAUUAUAUGAUUGCAGUAGUAUAGAGAAUUUUGGACCAUAUCAAGUGUGAGCUGCACUUUCAAAAUGUGUAAUAUUAAUUGUAAUUUUUAAUUAUAAUUAUAAUAAUUAUUAAUAUUAUUAGGGAAAUGCUAACUUGUGCCCUUAAGGCAUAAGUUCAAAAGCUAAAGAUAGAAGUUUUGUAUUUAAUGUUGUAAAAGUUUAAUAAUUUAUAUUUUCAAUUCAAAUUUUAUUUAUUAUUUCCUUUUUUAGUUUCUUAAGUUGUGCCCUUAGGGCACAAGUGGGCACAAAUUAGCAUGACCCAUAUUAUUAUACAUGUUGACCUACUCUUUUUAAAUUCAUAGGUUUCCUUCUUUUUCGUUGUUCCUGAGGAACAUGUAUUUCAAUGUGCUUAACAAAGAAUUUUGUAUCCUUGUAUUGUUUUUCAAUUAUUAGUUAGUUGUAGUUUGUGGAAUUUGUUUUUGCCCUUUAUUUAGCCAUAUAUAAAGUCGUUAAUACUUUGUGAAGGACAUUUCUUUUGCACAUUCUAAGUUAGUGUUUGGUUUUGUUUUGUGCAGACAAAUUUGCAAUUAUUAGCUGCCUGUUACUUGCAGAAUAAUCAAGCUUAUUCUGCAUACCAUAUUUUAAAGGGUAAGUUUAUUUCUCUAUCAUUUCUGGAGUUAAGUUCAUGUUAAUAAUAUUAGUGAUUACUUUUUGAAAUCUCGGUAUCUGGCCCAAGGACUGACUAAUCUGAGGGGUCCAAAUCCCACUGUCCACUUGUGGGGGUCCCAUUUAAAGCCAAAGCAAAGCUCUUUAUGGACUAGCCCACUGAAAUUGGCACCCGAGGGAUUGAACCUGAGACCUUGAGAGGAGCACACUCCAAGGUCCCAAGCCAACACCCACUCUCACAAAAUUGAUUUUGGUGCUAUUUCUGCCACCGUUUACAUGUCUGCCUCUGACCAUGUGAAAGCAACCACACAAUGGCCUCUGAAUAGCAUUUUGCCACAAAAUUGCCCUGUCAAUGUCAUGCUGCCUCGAGACAACAUUGGUUCCUUUUUUUUUUUUUUUUUUUUUUUUUUUAUAUAUAUAUUUUUUUCCUUUCAAUAUAACUAUUUCUUUUCUGCUUCUUUAAUUAGCUUUUAAAAGAAUGAUUUAUUUCCUUUGUUUGCUAUUGUCUUUUAAGUACUUAUUAUUUUUCAUAAUUUUUAUCUUUAUUGCUUGUAGGAACAAAAAUGCCUCAAUCUCGAUACUUGUUUGCAAUAUCAUGUUUUCAUAUGAAUCUUCUUGGCGAAGCUGAAGCAGCAUUGUGCCCUGCUAAUGAGCCGGGUGCAGAGGUAUAAACUUAUAGCUCAAUUUAGAAUGUACUCCAAAUUGAUGAUUUUUGACCCUAUUAUUAAUUAAAAUUUUUAAAGAAAUAUGUAGAUGACAAUAUUGUUUGCCAAACAAUUUUGAUUUUUUUUAUCUCUCUUUUAAUGUUUUAUUUUCUAGUUCAGUUUUGCUAUUUAUCACAUGACAUCGGACAUGCUGAUAGAACACCAACUGAAAUUGGUGUUUAGUUAGUGUUUAGCAAAAUUAAACACUUUUUUACUCAAACUACAGCAAGGAUGCUGUUGCAGAGUUGCGAAGCUCCUGCAGAGAAUGAAGUAUGUUCAAACUUACCAAAUGCACACCAUAAUUGUCUCCCAACCCCAUACUUUACAUCAUAUAUAUGGGAUACAUCACGUUUAUUUACUAACUUCUACUAAUUGUCACAUAUAAUUAGAUACAUAAUUGGUAGAUAAUUCUCCUACAUAAUUAAAUACACACGAGCUACAUAACUUUCCCACAUAAUUAAAUACAUAACUGUCCUACAUGAGUUGACUGCCAAAUUAAAUACACAUGAGCUACAUAACUACCCCGCUUAAUUAAAUACAUAACUAACAUUGACACAGACUACCAUAUGACACAGUUCUACAUCAUAUGCCCUCUUAUGGAGUAUAUCUUUACCUUCCAAGUAGGUGAGUUAGUGGACUUUCCGGUCCCAUCACAUGCCAAUGUGUUUAGUUGUUUUUUGUUAUAAUUUUUUGGUGCAUUUUGUGGGAGAUGAUGAUGAUGACUUGAUUUUGUUGAUAUUUUUUUUUACUAUGUAGGUUCCAAAUGGUGCACCUGGUCAUUAUCUAUUGGGACAGGUUUACAGGUUUCAGCCUUCCCAUUGUCCUGCUUGAAAUCCCUUUGAAUUUACUUUGUUAAUUUAGUGAUAUAAUUUGGCUAAAUCACAUCAUACAUGUAUACAAAUACAGUAUUCAGUAUUGUGCUUUAUACAAUGUGAAGAUUUGUUCUUUUGUGUUCUUGGAACUGAUUUUCUUUAAAUCAUCUUCAAAUAUUUUUCUUUAUACUUUACCUCUUGCCAUUUUCAUAUGAUUUCACCCUUCUACCUUCUCUUUAAUUACUAUUCUGCUUUUCCAGGUACACUGACAGAAAGAAAAGGGCCAUAGAUCAUUUUAAGCAGGCACUAUCAAAGGAUCCUCUAAUGUGGGCUGCAUACGAGGAGUUGUGUAUAUUAGGUUUGUGAGAUGAACUCACUUGAUUCCAAAAUCUCAUUCCACAUACCUGAUUAACCGAUUGGGGAUUUUUUUGUUUCGGGGGCUGCUUAGAGUUCUGUAUUUUCAUUUCGGACAAGUACACAGGGUUAUUUUUAGCUUUGACCAGUUAAUAAAGCUGCUUAAAAAACCCACUUGGGUGCUGGGUGGUAUUGACUUGGGACCUGGGACUGUGCUCCUCCUUAAGGUCUCAGGUUCGAUUCUCUCCGGUGCUAAUUUGGGUGGGCUAAUUUAGCUUCUUAAAAAAUAAAAUAAAAAUAAAGCUGCUUAAAACAAAGCAAACAUAUUUAACUUUGUAGGAUGUAUUAGCAUAAUGCACAAAUGUUUUAAACUUUUUCUUUCGGUGAUUAAGUAUCAGUCAUGAUGAGUUUAUUGUGGUUUGUCCAUAACUGGCAGUAGAUGGAAAAAAAACAAAACAAAACAGAACCACUGAAGUGGCUACGGUUCCACUAAUAUUGAAAUUGAUAAUAGGCAAAAUUACACAUGCGGUCCUUUAAGUUUAACCUUUAUUUUGGAUUGAUCUUUAAGUUUUAUUUUUCCCGAAUUGGUCCUUUAUGAUACAUUUUGUUUGCAAUGUUAGCCUUUAUGUUAUCUUCUUGUUGCAUUGUAGUCCUUCAUGUUAUAUUUUGUGAUUGUUGCACAAUUAGAGAUUAACAACAUUCAGGUGUCCAUUCAUAACACCUCAAUCUAGAGACAAAUGAUUCAUUGUUUUAGGUUUGUAAAUUUUAACGAUUCCUGCUGAAAGAAGACAUUUUUGCGAACAAUGAGAUACUUUGGUUUUUAAGUUUUUAGAUUUGAGAAUUUAGAUUUAAAUAAGUGACAGGAGAAAGGAUAUACACAUAUAUGACAUGUCUAUAUAAGUUUUCUUGAUAUUAAAAUGUCACACAUGUUUUAUUUCGACGAAACUUGUUAAAAACGCUAGCAUUAAAAGUAUAAUGUAACAUAAAGGAUCAAUUCAGGAACAUAAAAACUUAAAGGACCAAUCCGGGAAAAAGGUUGGACUUAAAGAACGGCAGUUGUAAUUUUGCGUUGAUAAUGCUAAGCAAAAGUUUGCCAUGAAAGUAGUUUGAAAGUAUACUUGUUUUUAAUUGCUUGUUUAAUUUUUUAAAAGAAAUCUAGUUAUCUAGAUAAUAUUUUUCACUUUCACAUGUUAUGUUGUUGUCAUCAUCAUUAUUAUGACUGUACGGUUUCCUGUUAAUUUAGGUGAUGCUGAAGAAGCUACUACAGUUUUUGGUGAAGCAGCUUCUUUUUGCAUGCAAAAGCAAUAUCUGAAUUGCUCAACCUCUCCGAAUUUGUCAGCUGAAGAUUGUAAUGUAGUUGCGACCAACAGUGUCUCUGAAGACGUGAGUCCAAGGAAACUAAGACUCAUGCAAGGUCUUAAGGAUAUUGCUGCAAACCCUCACGGAUCAUCUAUAAUUGGAGGAGCUGCUAGUCAACUUAUCAGUAGUGGUUCAUCUAACAUGUCAUUUUAUAACACCCCGUCUCCAAUGGCCACACAGGUAACUGUCUAGUUUUUUUAUAGGCCUAUUGAUGUUUUCUAUAACAAUUUUGGAAAGCUAAACUAUGCCAAGUUAUAGUUUCCAAAAACUUGAUAUGAUCAGUAGGACUCAAAUACGUGUAAAUGCGUCUUAUUUUUCCUUAAAUGAGAACACAGGUUCCUUGGUUAAGUAGAUGUCUAUUCGAUGUUCAAUUUUUUUUUUUUCUUCCAUUAGAAAUGACAUGUUAUACUGUCCUCUUUUGCAGUUGUCAUCUGUUGCUCCACCCCCUUUGUGUAGGAAUGUAAUGCCAAAUGGCCCAAAUCUGAGCACACUUAAUUCUGACAAUUCUCCUAAGUCGACAGUUAACUCUACUAUUCAAGCUCCUAUUCAAGCCCCUCGAAGGAAGUUUGUGGGUGAAGGAAAGUUACGAAAGGUUGGUUCAAAUGUUCUGCCUCUAUUUGUAUUAACUAAAUAAACGCAUGAAUAUUAUGUGGCAUUUUCUAUGUAAUAGACAUUGAUUUGAUCAAGUGGCUUAAUCUGAAGUACACAAUAGCAAUAUCGGAUACAUCUUUCUUGACAGUAGUAUGAUAGAACUGGUUGAAUAAACAAUUAAUACACUGAAUAUACUUCUUUUCUGAGAGGUAUAACUCUUGGAAAUCAAUUAUAAGAGAGAAUGCAAUACUCUAGAAUUAAUGGAGAGAAGGAUGAAGAUAAAUAAGAGUUCCCUACAAAUUUGAGAGCCUAGUCUCUCCUAACCAACCAAUUCCAAGAUAAUCAAGUGCCCCUCCUAUUCCCUCACAAUCUUUAUCAGAAGCAUUAUAUUGCAUGCAUUGUAAGAUGAGUUUAUAAGUGUAUUUUUCAUACUGUAGUGUUACUCAGUUGACCAUUUAUUCUAUUUAGCAUUUUAAAGGAUUGUUGGCAUGAUUGAGCUGAUAUGUACUUUUGGUUCAACGCUUGAUAGUUCCAGAGUACAGACUGUAUGAUGUUAUAUUCUCUCCUCUUUGUUCACAAAAACUAGUUAACCAAAAAUAUGAUUUUACCAAACUUUGCCCCCCCUCUAAAUAUGUAUAUAUUUUUGUUUCAGAUUUCGGGUAGGUUAUUUUCUGAUUCUCCUCGACGUAGUUCAAGACUCUCUAAUGAAGCAAGUGUAAGUUCAAAUGCUAAUGCAACAAUGUUGUCUGGAAACGGAACUAGUAACUCUUAUAAGGGAGGGUCAAAGCUUGGCCCUAUGACAUUUCGUACCAUGACAGUUCGAAAGGGACAAUCAUGGGCCAAUGAAAACAUGGAUGGAGGUGAUAGUUACUAUAUCUCACUACUUAUUACAUCAGUUUAAUUCCUGUAUUUGCAAAUGCCUUAUUAAAUAGUGUUGAUGUAAUGUUAAUUAAGCCAUUCAUUCGCUUUAGCACGUUGUUUCCCAGCUGGUGAAUUUAGAGUUCUUUUUAUCAUUUGUCUUCUAUGCUAUUAUCUUUCUAAAGAUAUUAUCACAAAGAAAUCAACAUCAUUGAUAAUUGUGCUAAGUUGAUAUUGUUUGGUGAUACCAGAUAGAAUUUUGAUUCUACGGCCAAGUGCCAACCUAAUAUGUUGAACUUUGAUUAGAUGAAAUGUUUCUGUUUCCUUUCGCAAUUGUGGGUUUGCAGAUAUUCUAUCUUAAGGUAAUUAUUGUCUUAAAUUUCCUUUAUUUCCAAUGAUGACUCCCAUUUCUUUAUUUUAGGGAUUCAUAAUGAUGCUGUGGAUGUUAGUCGUUUAAAUAUUUCAUCAACAACUUCUUGUUCAUCUGCUGCCGUUGAAGCUAAAGCGUAUGAACAAGAUGCAACAACUCUUCAAGUUAGUGGGCAAGCAACAAGUGAGUCUAAAGUCAUCACUGGUGCAUCCGAAAUAUUGACCAUUCUAAGAGUUCUUGGUGAAGGCUAUAGGCUUGCCUGCUUGUAUAGGUGCAAGGUAUGAUAUAAUUUUUUUUUGAGAAAAUCCAGAUAUCGUUUAUAUUAACUAUUAUUGAGAGUUCCACAUUAUAUUCAUAAGAGAUGGCCUGAAAAAUAUUCAUAAAUGGGAGGUAUGAGGUAUCCCAUAUGGUUUAGUUAAUCCCAACCCAAAUUCUUACAACUAUUUAUUAAAUAAGUUAAAUUAGGAAAAAGAAUAAGGUUUUAGAAAAUAAAAAGGACCAUGAAAAAGGAAAAAAAAAAUCAGGUUAGCACCUUGGUCCUCAAUUAUGUUUCUUAAUAUCUGUUUAUGGUGGAGUAGGAAGCACUGGAUACCUAUCUGAAACUUCCACAGAGGCAUUACAAUACAGGAUGGGUUCUUUCUCAGGUAAUUUUAGUGGUUCAGCUCUCAUUUGCUGGUCUUUCAGUGUGUUAGAAUAUAUGGAAAAUAUAUCUUCAACAUAUUGGAUUGUCUAUUAGAAUUGGUUUGUUGUAUAUAUUUAUUUGGAUUAGGAGUCUAAUAUAUUGAUAGAAAUAAGGAUUAAUGUCACAUCUUCUGGAAGCUAUGAAGCACGGACACAGACACCGGACACGACACGGACACUCACACGCCGACACGGAUAAUAAUUUGAGAAAAUGAUAUAAUUUAGUGUAAUCAUAGGUGUCGUGUCGGUGUUCCGACACGGGACACUCCUAAUCCGAGAAGUGUCCGUGCUUCAUAGUCUGGAACUAAUAUGAUAUAUCAUUAACAUUGGCAUCAAUACAGUUACUAUUUUAAGUAAGGUUUAAAUGUGUCAUUGGUCCCUGCACUUUCAUCAGAUUUUGAUAUUGGUCCCUGCACUUUUUUUUGUUUGGCAUUGGUCCCUGCACUUUGUAAAAAUAUUGGUAUUGGUCCCUCUGCUAACUUUCUGUUAAAAAAAAAAACACAAAACUAACGGAGUGCCACGUGGCCCAAUCAUUUCACGCCACGUGGCACCGAUAUCAAUAUUUUUACAAAGUGCAGGGACCAAUACCAAUUUUUUUACAAAGUGCAGGGACCAAUACCAAUAGUUUUGUGUUGUUUUUUAACAGAAGGUUAACAAAGGGAUCAAUACCAAUAUUUUUACAAAGUGCAGGGACCAAUUCCAAACAAAAAAAAGUGUAGGGACCAAUGCCAAAAUCUGAUGAAAGUGCAGGGACUAAAGACAUAUUUAAGCCUUUAAGUAAUUUUUCCCUCCCUCCCUAAAGGUCUAAACCCUAGAAUUUUUUAACUUGUCAUGAUUCUCUGUGUGUACGGUUAUUUGGUUAUUUUGAUUCAUUUUACCCACUCAGUAAGAAAAGGUUUGGCGGUUAUUGUAAAAGCUGGUUUGUUUUACAUGCCACUGGAUUCUGAGAUGUUUCUUUAUAUCGAAGAUUCUUAGAGGUGCAUAUGCUAAUUAUUUGUCAUGUUACUUUGAAUAUGUUUCGACGCAGGUUGGGAAGGCACACUAUGAGUUAGUUGAUAAUUUAGAAGCUGAUCGGGUCUUUAGUCUUGCUCGUCAAAUUGCACCUUAUAGUUUGGAAGGGAUGGAUAUAUACUCAACCGUCCUUUAUGUGAGUUGACGGACAUUUUCUUUGUAAAAAGCAAACCUGUCUCUUUGUUUGCAUGUUUGAGGCUACAUUAUUUUGAUGUUGAUGCUAUUUAUGUCAAAGGUUUCUUGUUUGAUGCUUGUCAUGUACAAAUUACAAAAUAAGCUUGAACAUUGAUAAUUAUAUAUGGCUAUAACGUUUUAACAAUACAUCCUUGUAUUCUUUUUCAAAAUAACAAAUACUACAUCCUUGUAUUUCUUUAGCUUCCAGCUCCACUUUAAAUAUAGAAUUUUACAUGCAUAUCUGCAUGUUUACUUCUUGACCAAAAGACUUAUCUCUGCUUCAGCAUUUAAAGGAAGAUAUGAAGCUAAGCUACCUGGCCCAGGAACUGAUUUCAACUGAUCGGUUAGCCCCUCAAUCCUGGUAGGUACACAUGGAACUUUCUUUUUAUUAUUCGGUGUGCUACGAUCUAAUCAUUUAUCCUGGUUUAUUAUUUAUAUUGAAUGUUGUGGCAGGUGUGCCAUGGGAAAUUGCUACAGCCUGCAAAAAGAUCAUGAAACUGCACUGAAAAAUUUUCAACGAGCAGUUCAACUGAAUCCAAGAUUUGCAUAUGCACAAACCCUUUGUGGGCAUGAGUAAGAAAAUUGUCCUUUUCGUUAAGGUACACAUUCCUACUACAUGAUCUGUCUCGUAACUUGUUGCCAUUUGCAGGUAUGUUGCACAAGAAGAUUUUGAAAAUGGGAUUAAGAGCUAUCAGAGAGCACUCAUGGUCGACCCAAGGCACUAUAACGCAUGGUAUGGACUCGGAAUGUUAUAUCUCCACCAAGAGAAAUUUGAGUUCUCUGAACAUCAUUUCCGUAUGGCUUUCCGAAUCAACCCAAAAUCUUCUGUGAUAUUGUCAUACCUUGGAACUGCUUUGCAUUUUUUGAAGGUUAAUCUCUUUCUGGCUUGCUGCACUUAAUGUAUUUGUACAAACUACAACUGCAGUUGUCGUUUACUUUUAUUUUUGUAUCCAAUAAUUUGAAACUAUGCUUUUCUAUGAUUUCUCAGAGAAGUGAGGAAGGUUUGGCCGUGAUGGAGAAAGCUAUUUUAGCAGAUAAGAAAAAUCUACUCCCGAUGUAUCAAAAGGCCAACAUUCUAAUGAGCCUGGAAAGGUUUGACGAGGCUUUAGAAGUCCUAGACGAGCUUAAAGAGUACGCUCCCUUCGAAAGUAGUGUCUUUGCUUUGAUGGGCAAUAUCUAUAAAAGGCGUAACAUGCAUGAGAGAGCCAUGUUUCAUUAUGGUAUUGCUUUGGAUUUGAAACCAUCUGCAACGGAUGCUGCCACCAUUAAGGUGAUUAGUUUACAAUAGCAAUUUCCUAGUUCACUAGGUGUAGAUGGAUGAUUGACCACUUUAGAACACUUGGAAUUUCUGAUUAUUGUCAUUGUUCAUUUAUUUUCUAAUGUGACAUGAAGCUUCUUAUUCUGUUCAAACAGGCUGCCAUUGAGAAAUUGUAUUUGCCUGAUGAGCUGGAAGACAACUUGUAGCUCGACAUUUGAAGUGCAAGAUUUGAGUAAUAUAUUUGCUUUCGGCUAAUUGUGUAUAAAAAGCAACACAAAUGCUGGAGGAGUGUAUUCAUUCAUGCAGCCGUCAUCACAUUUGCAACCAUCUAAUUUCCAGAUCACUAUAACUGACUUCAGUUUUGUAGGACAUUCACCUAGGAUUCGAGCAUAUAUAUGAUGUAAUAGGGUUAUCGAAAAACUCCAAUAUUUGUACAAAAUUGUUGUAUUAGCUAGAAAUCCGUGUAUCCGUGUAUUAUUAGUUUAUCCAUAAUUCAACAACCGUACUGGUUAAAUUUUGUGCUAAAUGCCUCAUUCCAUGUAACUUAUUUAGUUUCUUCAAAAAAAUAUGUAACUUAUUAGUUAUUUUUUCAACUUCAAAUCUUUUAGGUAAUGCAGAACUUAGGGCAUGUUGAGGAAGUGUCCACGAAUACAUCUCGAGAUUUUUUUUCUUUCAAAUAUUGGGUUUUCAGCUUCUACCUACUUGUUGAAUGACACAGCAAGUUAUUUCUAAGCCAGUAAUGCACAUGACUAAAUCAUAAUUGACACAACUCAAAUUUAUUUCAUCUAGCAUGCAGAAGCUAUUUUUCUAUUUAAUGAGUUGUAGUACUUCACAACACAAGUGAUUAGGAAUUAUUUUACCUUUGAUGAGUUGUGGCUAACAGGGUGUCACCGAUGGUGAACAAGAAACUAUUUGGAAUUGAAACUUAUUUCAUCUUGGCAUGUUAAGGAUUUUUUUAAUUGACAAAUAUGACGACCAUAAAAUGAGUAUUUGGGUUGGUUUCAAAUGCGUAAAUCUUAGCAAAAGUUAUAUAUUAAAUUUUGCCAGAAUAUAACACUACCAAUAAUUUAGUCAUGAGUUGGCGAAGUAACAUAUUCACAUAAAAAUAGAGGUGUGAAGAUAUUCUGAGUUUAUUCAUAAGCUGGGGUAAUAAAAUAGUCAUAAAGAGGUGAUAGACAAACAAUACUACCAAUUAUAAAAAAUAUGGACAUAAAUAAUUAAGCUGCAUAAAGUAAUUCUCAUGAUAAAACAUUCAUAUCCAUAUUUGAAGCAACCACAUUGACGACAAUAAUUAAGCUUCAGUUUUGCAUUGUUUAAUUCAAUACUAAGGCAAUUCUUUUAAACGGAUAAAACUUCUUCCUUCCAAAAUACAAUCUAUAGUUUCAUAUCUUUUUUCCUAACUCAAAAGAGCCAAAAACUAAAAUAAUUUUGACUAUCAUAGUUUCAUAUCCUAAACAAAACUCGACAAUAGUUCUCUAAUCUCUUCCGCAUAUCUACUCCAAAGAUGUUAGUCAUCUUACUCCCUUGUAGUGUUCUCCCACUAAUUUCUCUGCAUCAUAAAUGACAAAUGUAUGUUUAUACUGUUAGUGUCAAACAAACAAAUCCAAAAAUAGAUAUAUUUAAGCAUGUAGAUGAACAAAGAACAAACAAAUGGCAUAUUAUGGUACUUUCUAAUUGUGUGCAUUACCUCCAAGUACCAAGCGGUAAAAACAAAUGAAACUAAAACCAUAUACAUAUCAUGAAUGUUCAAUGGAAGAUUACAAACAUUCUGGCUCUAAAAUAUUCAUCAUCAAUAUGAUCAGACAUCAUACAUUCUUGCUUUUUGCGUCUUAACUAAGAGUAUUAACAUCAUCAUUAGAUUCUUAUCUCAUUUUAAAAGAGGCAGGAAUGACACAUCCGAAAUAUCAUACAUAGUAUUUUUCACAAAGAAACAAAAUCAAGACGAUAACUUCACUAACAUGUAAAGAUUUAAAUAAAACUGACAAUUUAUCAGAGAAAAAACACCAACAAGAAUAAAGCCAAAUCCAAUAGUCUCAAUGAAGAUUGUUAUAUUUUCAAACUCCACAUUUUCACAUUCACAAAUCAUAAAUAAAAAUAAAAGUGGGACAUAUCAGUGUAUAGCAACACUUAUGUAAUCACUCCAUUAAAAUGUCAGGUACCAGUUAAAAUAUAGAAUAAUAGGUAUAAGAGUAGUCCAAGUAGUUAGGACUUAGGAGGUUGAGCUAUGAAUUGAGUAGAAACUUGAAGGAGAGCUUCACUCUUACUAUUUCUUAUUUUCUUAAUUCAAUUGGAGAAGCAAUUGUCCAAGGUCAAAACAGAACACUCAGAGCAGACAUGCAGAAGCAAGUACGAAACACAGGUACACAUAUUAUCAAGUUAAACAUACUUGAGUUAUCAUACUUCAAACACAUAUCAUUAAUCAAUUCAUAUGCCAUAUGCCUUAUUUACUUCAUAUUAACUUUCAAGUUGGAUUAAAAUACAAAGUAAGUUUGACUGCAGAGUUGCGACUUAUGACGCUGCCAUGUUGGGCAUCGGCAUUAUUUCACAAAUUGACUAAAAUGGUUGUCAAAAAUCCACCAUCCGGCCAUGGCCUAGCCUUUUAAAUUUGUAAGAUGACAUUUUAAAAAGGAAAUUUCUCAGAGAAGUAAAUGUUGAAACAAAAAGAACUUACAGUGUUCAAACUUCAGCAUAGCAAUUUCAGAAUACUAGCAAAUACGGCAUCCACGACGCAAUAGAAGUUCCCUAUUUUCGUCACUUACAUCAAUAUCCCCCAAAUUAAUCUCUCUCAAUUGUGUGCAGUUUUCUACCACAUGUUCCACACCCUUUUCUGUGACAUUUUUACAAUUAUCAAGUUGUAAUUGCAAAAGCCCACAACAAUUCUUUGAGAUCACAGAAAGAGUUUCAUCAUCAACGCUUGUAUUUGACAAGUUCAACACCUCCAGCUCGGGAACUGCAAAGUUCAUUCCAUGUAGUUUCACUUUUGAACAGAAAGCUAAGUUCAAAUGUUUAAGCUUACAACAUUUCUUUAAAACUUGACAAAUACCUUCAGAUAUUUGUGAGCAACGUGUCAAAUCAAGUAGCUGUAAAUUGGGGAAAAUGGAAGUAAACAUUAUGAUUAUUUCAUCUAUUAACCAGUAAUUUGUACCCAAAUAGAGAGAGUUUAACUGAGGGUAUACACCAGAAUGCCCAACAGUCUCUUUCCCAAUACAUGUGUUUUCCAUUUUAAUCUCGGUAAGCAAAGGACAGUUUCUAACGAGUGAAAAAAAGGUUGUUUCUGUGAGAUAACCACCACAAAGGUUUAUAGAUACCAAAUUACCAAGAAACAAAGAGAAAUCAACAACAUGUUGAUCAUUUAGACUAGUAAUGUGACAAAGUUCCAAAUGUUGUAUACAUGGAGACUUGGAUAGCAGACGGUGAAUUGUAUUAACGAAGUUAGUCUGAUUGUCAUAGGCGACCAAAGGGAAAUAGAUGAUGAGUUUUGUGAGCAAAGGGAAACAAUCAACAAUGUCUGUCAGACUGUUCUCGAAAAAAUAAACACAGUAACAACUGAGAGAGGUCAAAGUUGUAAUAUUUUGGGAGAGAGCUUGCAACCCAUCUGUGGGAAAGUAGCAUUCGUCGAGUUUGAGUGAUGUGAGUUUCAAUGGGAAAUUUGAGAGUUGGUUGAGAAGAUCGUCAAGGUUGCGGUGAUC